AGAAUGCAGGUUUCCGAGGACAUGACCCUUGAUAGGAAAGUCUGGAGGUCUAGAAUCAGGGUUGUAGGAUAGGGACUCCUAGAGUUUUUCGUACGCCUCAUCUGGGGUUGGGUGUGGCUCAGCAGGGUUACCCAUAGAUGAUAUGUGUUUUAGCGUAUGUCCCCCCUAUGGGUGUUAGUUAUGGUAGUUACUGUAUGAUAUUAUUGCAUGCGAUUGUAUUUAUGUUUCGUAUGUUNNNNNNNNNNNNNNNNNNNNNNNNNNNNNNNNNNNNNNNNNNNNNNNNNNNNNNNNNNNNNNNNNNNNNNNNNNNNNNNNNNNNNNNNNNNNNNNNNNNNNNNNNNNNNNNNNNNNNNNNNNNNNNNNNNNNNNNNNNNNNNNNNNNNNNNNNNNNNNNNNNNNNNNNNNNNNNNNNNNNNNNNNNNNNNNNNNNNNNNNNNNNNNNNNNNNNNNNNNNNNNNNNNNNNNNNNNUUUACUGCUGUUUUUCCUUAUCCUAUGAGCCGGGGGUCGAUUGGAAACAGCCUCUCUGUCCUUUCGGGUAGGGGUAAGGCUUGUCUACAUAUUACCCUCACCAGACCCCACCUGAUGGGAGUAUACUGGAUAGUUGUUAUUGUUAGAAUUCUUCAAUUGUUUAUUUAUAUAAGAUAAACCGGCUGUUGAUAUUUUUCAGGCCUAUCAUUUUUGUUUGUCAAGUCUUAAGAUAGAUAUAGUUUAUGUUACUACUUGAAUUUGCAUAUACAAGCAGCUCAACCUUCACUUUAUUGAGCCAUCGUAUAUAUUCAAUCAACCAUUGGUUUAUAUAUUUUUAUGAGUGGAGAGUUCCAAUUACCUUUCAGAACCAUUUGAUUGUGAUAAGGAAAUAAUUGAAGAGAAAAAAAUGAGACUUAAAGGUAAAGAAAAGAUACUACAGCAAGCCUAUAACUUGUGGAUGUAGAAGAAAAAUAAAUCAAACGUCUAUUCUGUUAUUAGUCUAAUGAGCGAUCUCUGACUGUGGGCAUCUGGUGAGUGUCGACCAUUGGUUUUCUCGUCUAAUACAUGAAACAUGAUCCGAUUUCUAUUUUUCUAUUUGUGCUCUUUGCUUGGUUGAAUUAAGACCACCAACAAGAACAAUUUCAACGAUUAUUUUGGCUUCAACGGACAUUAAUCUUGAAACAAAAUAUUUCCAAUGAGAUUUCUCAGUACCGUAGCAAAGUCAGAUUUUGCGAUUCUAAAGAAGUGCGGUGCAAUCUUUUACAAGAAUACCAUACGAACUUUUUCUUACUCCAUGUAUGUUAAGGUUAUCCCUUCUUUCUUUUGGCAUGAUCCAUACGAUACAAACGAAACGAGAAAAUACACAACUUCCAUAAAUGAUUCUAUUCAUAGAAGUAUUAGAUGUGCCUAUGUUCUUGAAUUUUCAUAUGUCUUACUAUUCUAUUGUCUGUUCAUGGGUUUAAAAAAAUACUAAGUUGAUAAAAUUUAUUUCAUAAUAUUAAUCAGAGAUAUAAUGGUCUUAUGACGUUCCAAUAGAUUUUAUUAACGUACUUCUUAUUCAUUGCAUUCAUUUAUACAUAUACAUUGACCCAUGACCAGACGAGUAUAUAUGUAUAUUAUAAGUAUAUGGGAUAUGGGAAAAUGUUACAUCAUUAUAUACGUACCACCAACUGAUCAACUGAUAUACGAUGAUGAGUUUGCCCACAGUGGCCGAGAAUGAUAUGAUGGAAUGCCCUCAGAGACUUGAUGAUAUUAUGAACACAUGUACUUAUGCACGACAUGACAUUAAUACGCAUAUGCAUGACACUAUAAGUAUUUCAUAAUUUACAGAGUUGUCCAGACUUACAGGUUGAAUCAUUUACUUUAUAUUUCCUCCAUGUCAUUUAUGUCCUUAUUUACGUGUCGUAUAUACGUUGUACAUUAUUCGUACUGACGUCUCUUUUUCCUGUGGACGUUGCAUUUCAUGUCCACAGGUCCCGAUAGACAGGUCGAGAUAGACAGGUCGAGAGUUCUCCAAGUAGGCCAUUAGCUCAGCAUAAGAUGUUGGUGCGCUCCAUUUGCUCCGGUGUUGCUUGUUUGGUCAGUAUGAUUUAGACGCAUAUUAUUUGGUAUGGCGGGACCCUGUCCCGACCUUUAUGAUAAGUAAGUACUCUUAGAGGUUUGUAGACAGAUGCCAUGUAUACGGAUGCUCGUAUGGCCUUGCCAGCCUAUGUUUUAAGUUUACAAAUGAUCAUGUUGGCCUUAUAUGUCACAUGUAUAAAUUUUUUUUAUCAGGUUGGGUCGUCCUAUAUAGAGUAUUCCCCUAUGUCUAUUCUGGUUAUCCUAUGACGGCCCAUUUGGUCCAUUUGUCAAUGAAAGUACAAUAAGAAAGAUGUGAGAAUGCACGGGAAAAUAUUAUUGAUUAAUGUUGAUAAUGUUACAAUGAGCCAUAUAUAUAUAAUACAUGUCCUACUCUUAAUAAAUAUGAGAUUAGGAUUAUUUAUUACUAUUUAACUAUCAAGCUAACACUCCCUCUUAAGUCGGUGCAUGUAAAUAUAUGUACCGGGCUUGUUAAUAUAUAACUAAUACGAGGACCAGUGAGGGACUUGGUGAAAAUAUCAAUAAGUUGAUCAUUCAACUUCACAAAUUUUGUAGCAAUAUCUCCCGAGAGUAUCUUUUCUCUAACAAAGUGAUAGUCAANNNNNNNNNNNNNNNNNNNNNNNNNNNNNNNNNNNNNNNNNNNNNNNNNNNNNNNNNCCGAGAUUAUCUUUUCUCUAACAAAGUGAUAGUCAAUCUCGAUGUGUUUAGUUCUCUCAUGGAACACUGAAUUUGAUGCAAUAUGAAGAGCAACUUGAUUAUUGUACACAAGUCUCAUCUGACUAAUCUCACCAAAUUUCAACUCAUUGAGCAACUGUUUGAUCCAAAUUAGCUCACAUGUGGCCAUAGUCAUUGCUCGACAUUCUGCUUCUGCACUAGACCGAGCAACCACAUUCUGUUUCUUGCUAUUUCAAGACACCAAAUUUCCUCCUACUAAGACACAAUAUCUAGACGUAGAAUGUCUACCAGAAGGUGAUACUGCCCCCAUUGCUCGAUAUUCUACUUCUACACUAGACCGAGCAACCAUAUUUUGUUUCUUGCUCUUUCAAGACACCAAAUUUCUUUAUACUAAGACACAAUAUCUAGACGUAGAACGUCUAUCCAAUGAUCUUCUCAUGGCCUCGAUCCUCAAACAAUAAGCCUUUGUCUGAAGCUGAUUUUAUAUACCCAAGAAUGCGGACAACGACAUCCCAAUGACUAUUACAGGGAGACUCAAUAAACUAACUCACAGGAAAGAAAAUAUCAGGUCUAGUCAAUGUGAGGUAAUUUAAUUUACCAACCAACCACCUAUAUCUUGCCGAAUUGCUAAUAGGCUCCCCCUGUCCUGGUAGAAGUUUAGAAUUCGGGUCCAUUAGAGUGUUAACAGGUCUACAACCCAUCAUUCCCGUUUCCUCAAGAAUAUCUAAGGCAUGCUUCUAUUGUGAGAUCACAAUACCUGAGCUAGACUGAGCAACCUCAAUACCCAGAAAAUACUUUAAUCUGCCCAGAUCCUUAGUCUGAAAGUGCUGAAAGAGAUGUUGCUAUAACUUACUAAUACCAUCCUGAUCAUUGCCGGUAAUAACAAUAUCGUCAACACAAAAGACCAUAUAAAUAUAGAGAUUUGAAGCAGAAUGUUGAUAAAUAUAGAGUGAUCAGCUUCACUAUGAGUCAUGCCAAACUCCUGAAUAAUUGUGCUGAACUUACCAAACCAGGCUCGAGAAGAUUUCUUUAGACCAUAGAGGGACCGACGCAACUGACAUACAAGGCCACUAGACUCCCCCGAGCAAAAAAAACAGGUGGUUACUCCAUAUAAACCUCAUCCUUAAGGUCACCAUAAAGAAAAUCAUUCUUAAUGUCCAACUGAUAGAGAGGCCAAUGACGAACAUCAACCAUGACUAGAAAAAGGCUGACUGAUGCAAUUUUAGCCACGUGAGAGAAAGUAUCAUUGUAAUCGACUCCAAAUAUCUGAGUAUAUCGUUUGGCAGCAAGAUGAGCCUUAAGUCGAUCAACCUGGCCAUCAGAACCAACUUUGACUGCAUACACCCAACGACAACCAACAAUCGAUUUACCCGAAGGAAGAGGAACGAGCUCCCAAGUACCAUUCAUAUGUAAAGCAGACAUCUCGCCAGUCNNNNNNNNNNNNNNNNNNNNNNNNNNNNNNNNNNNNNNNNNNNNNNNNNNNNNNNNNNNNNNNNNNAAGCCCCCAAGUACCACUCGUAUGUAAAGCAGACAUCUUGUCAAUCAUAGCUUGUCGCCAUCUGAGAUGAGAUAGUGCUUCAACUGUAGACUUAGGGGUAGAAACAAAGGACAAAGAUGACACAAAUUCACAAUGGGAUGAUGAGAGGUGAUGGUAUAUUAAACCAAUAUAAUGAGGAUUAGGAUUAAGUGUGAACCGUAUACCUUUUUGUAGUGUAAUCGGUUGAUUAAGAGGAGACAAGUCCACAGUAUUUACAGGGUCAGGUGCAGGAUGUGAAUCAGGUGGAACUGAUGCUUGGGGUAGACGACGUGAUAGGUCAGGAGUGGUGGAGCUGUAGAAGGUUGAACUGGACUAGGUGGUGGCACUGGAGCUAUUGUUGGUGGUACUGGACUAGGUGGUAGCACUGGAGCUAUAGUUGGUGGAACUAGACUCAGUGGUGACACUGGAGAUAUAGGUAGUGGAGCUGCAACUGGAAUUGUAGGCGGUGGAGCUAUGGAGGAAGAUGAAUGGGAGAUAGGGACAGAACCACGAAAAGAAGGAACGGGUAGCACCUCAGAAAUAUCUAAGUGAUUAUCUGGACCUGUGAAGUAUGAUUAGGUUUCAAAGAAGAUAACAUAAACAGACAUAAGAAAUCGCUGAUGUUCAGGAGAAUAACAUCUAUAUACCUUUUAGGUUCUCGAGUAACCCAGAAAUAUGCACUUAGAUCAUGAGGCGCUAACUCAUAUUUUCCUGGAGUAAGGUCAUGAACAAAGCACGUACUCCCAAAGACACGGGAUGGGAGAGAGAACAAAGGUAUGUGGGGAAAUAAGAUAAAGAAUGGAACUUGAUUUUGGAUAGCUAAAGAUGGCAUAUGAUUAAUAAGAUAAAAAGACGUAAGUACCGCAUCCCCCCAAAAACGCAGCGGAACAUUAGAUUGUAUGAGUAGGGUACGAGUGGUUUCAAUAAGAUGUCUAUUCUUUCUUUCAGCUUCCCCAUUUUGUUGGGAUGUGUAUGGAUAAGAUGUUUGAUGAACAAUCCCAUGGGAGUUCAUAAAUUGUUGAAAUGGGAAAGACAAAUACUCUAGGGCAUUAUCACUAUGAAAUGUGCGGAUAGACACCCCAAAUUGAUUUUGAAUUUCAGCGCGGAAGGUCUGGAAACUAGAAAACUACUCAGAUCGAUUUUUCAUCAAAAAUAUCCAAGUGCACCUGGAAUAAUCAUCAAUGAAACUGACUUGAAUUUCUGCAUGGAAGGUCUGGAAAAUAGAAAACAACUCAUAUCGAUUUUUCAUCAAAAAUAUCCAAGUGCACCUGGAAUGAUCAUCAAUGAAACUGACAAAGUGGGGGAAUCCUAUGGUAGAACUAACCCGACUAGGACCCCAAACAUCUUAAUGGACUAAAGUAAAAGGUGACUCUUCUCGAUUAUCAAGUCGCCACAGGAAAUAGGAGCGGGUAUGCUUACCGAGAUGACACGACCCACGCUCUAGAGUGGACAAGUGAGAUAAUCCAGGUACAAUUUUCUAAAGUUUUGACAAACCGUUUAUGUAAUAAAUAUAGUGAAUCAAUUACGAGACAAGUUAUUGUAGGAAUACAAAAUGCGGAGUCCAUAUGACUUGCAAGGAUAAGGUAAUAAAGUCCAUCUGAUUCACGUUCGGUACUAAUAAUCGCCCUGUACUAAUGAUCUGGAUAAUUGUUGAAGCAGAAAUUGAGGAUAGUGAGUGGGUUAAGACUCGGCUAGAGCAGUUGUCAUUAAUUGAUGAAAAAUGAAUGGCCGCGGUUUCUCACGGGCAGGUGUACCAACAAAGAAUGACCUACCCUUACAACAAGAAAGUGCGCUCCAUGAAUUUCGAGGUCGGACAACUUGUAUUAUGGCGUUCUGCCUCACCAUCAGGAAAUUAAAGGCGAAAAAUGAAUGGCCGCAGUUUGUCACGGGCAAUUAUACAAACAAAGAAUGGCCCGCACUUACAACAAGAAAGUAAGCCCCGGGAAUUUUGAAGUCGGACAGCUUGUAUUGAGACGUAUUCUCCCUCACCAUCAGGAAGCUAAAAGAAAGUUUUCUCCGAACUGGAAAGGUCCAUACAACUAUCAGAAAGAUACUGCCCAAAGGAGCGUUGUACCUGGGUGACGUUGAAGGACACGAUCCCGAAACAGUAGUGAACGCAGAUGCAGUAAAAAGGUAUUACGUUUGAACUCCCUGCAUCAAUGAUUCAGGCUGGUUGAAGUGACGAAGGCUUUUCUUUCUCGCCACCCUAAACACUAUCAAUCCUUCGCAAACCCUUUUGAGCCGGUUACGUUUAUUUGAUCACCCUCUUUGGAACCCGAAAGUGCUAUCAAAAAAAAGAAGAAAAAAAAAGAGAAAAGAAAAAAAAAGGAAUGAAAAAAAAUAAAAAAAUAAAAAGAAAAAAGAAAAAAGGAAUGAAAAAAAAGAAAAGAAAGAAGAAACAAAAAACAAAUUAGUUUAGGGAACACUUCCUGAACUACGUCUGAUUUGAUUCCGAAAAGAUAUGUAGACAGCCUCUCCCUGAGGUUCAGUCAUAUCAAAAUAAAACCCCAGUUCCCUAAAAACGAAACUGGGGCAGAUGAUGUAAUGAGUCGGCCACGAAGCCGCCAGAAUGGUUCCAAAGUUGUAGGUUUCUGCCCAAUUUUCUUUAACCAAGGACCUGGCCCAAGUCCUUCCGAUCGAUUGGCAAAGGCAGGGACACGACAAACACCAUUGUUGGAAUUUGGCACAAUUCGAUUUGAGAGAAAUAAAAUGAGAGAGUCUUAUCGGUGAAAACCUUUGUGCACCAUAACGCGAUGGUGAGUAGAGAAAAAAAAUGAGAGAGUCCGUUUAGUGAAAACUCAUAAAAGAUCAUUAUCGGGCGACGAGAGAAGAGAAAUGAGAGAGGUCGAUUGGCGAAAACCCGCAAAGGGUACCGUCGGCCGAAAAGGAAAAAUAUCACCAUCAAAACCAAGCAAGUUUCCAUGAUUUUGAAAGAUUGAAAUAAGGGUCACAAGAAGCAGGAAAUGGGUACGGGUCGGGCAUCCAGUCCAAAAAGCAUAUCAUGUCCAUUUGAAGUUGGCAUGCACCCCCAGAUAAGUCCUUCCCCUUUUCCCCGAAAGGAACACUUCUCUCUAAAUCCAUAUGAUUGUUUUUGUUGAUUCCCCGAAUCCCUUUCGGCUUAACUUUGAUUUCAUGACUAUUCUGCAAGAAAAGGUGGUAAGACCGGCCUCACAGGGCUCUCCUGGCAAGGACCAAAGAAAAUACCCAGUCUCAGCUGAUGCAUCUAGCCAAGCCUGACUAGCCAUGACGGUUGACGUUUCAAAAGCAAAAAAGGUGGAAAGAAAGAAAAUGAAAGACAAAUACCCAUGAAGGCAAAUGAAGAUUUGAAAGGUUAAGCCCGAGUGGGAUAAUUGUCUUCACAUAAGUUUCAAAAGGCAGGCCUUCAAGUGGAAAUCGGGGCAAAGAAGUCGUAACCAAGGGCCUAUAAAAGCGAAACAAAUUUAAAAGAUGAUGUCUCCCGACCAACCUACAAGGCAAAGUCAGGAGUAAGGCCGGGAUCAAGCAAAUCAAGGCCAUAAAACCAACCACUGUUACAAACUAACAAAUCUUGCUUUGUUUGAAAAUUUGAAACAUGCGUAAUCCAAAGCAAUGGGAUACACAGCAAAUUCAACCAAAGGAAAUGCACAAGAGCUAAGAAUAGCCUUGCACCAAUGAUCAAUAAAAGGGAAGUUCUUUUCACAUGUUUUCCAGCAGUUUCUAUAAAAGAAAAGAAAAAGGAGGGUCACAAACUCUGAUAGCAUAAGACUCCGAUCCCCGACUCCUUCUCCAAAUCUAGGACCACAUCCUCUAUCUCUCCCCAGCAUAACCUGAGGGACCUUUCUUUUGUCCACCCCUGGCAUAACCCAAGGAUCAUACUCUAUUCUACCCAGCAUAAACUGAGGAUUCCUUUCCCGGCAUAACCCGAGGGUUCCUCUCUCCAUCCCCAGCAUAACCUGAGGACCUUUCUUUCUGUCCAUCCCCAGCAUAACCUGAGGGACCUUCUUUUUCUUUCAUUCCCAAGCAUAACCUGAGGACCAAUUUCCCUCCAUCCCUAGUAUAACCUAAGGGUCUUUACUUUCUCUCUAUCCCCAGCAUAACCUGAGGGACUUAUUUGCCUUUCAUUCCCUACCAUUCCCCAGCAUAACCUGAGGGCCUUUCUCUUUACUUCCCAACACGAGUCUUUUUCUUCCUAUCCCGGCAUAACCCGUGGAUUCCCCUGGCAUAAUUCAGGAGUUUUCUUUCAAAUCCAGGCAUAACCCGCGGAUCCCCCUAGCAUAACCUAGGAGUCUUUUCUUUUUCAAUCCCGGCAUAAUCUGCGGACCCCCCUAGCAUAACCUAGGAGUCUUGUCUUUUUUAAUCCCGGCAUAACCCAUGGAUCCCCCUUACAUAACCUAGGAUUCUUCUUUCAAAUCCUCGCAUAGCCCGCGGAUCCCCCUAGCAUAACCUAGGAGUCUUCUUUCAAAUCCUGGCGUAACCCGCGGAUCCCCCUAGCAUAACCUAGGAGUCAUUUCUUUUUCAAUCCCGGCAUAACCCGCAGAUCCCCCUAGCAUAACCUAGGAUUCUUCUUUGAAAUCCCGGCAGAACCCGCAGAUCCCCCUAGCAUAACCUAGGAGUCUUCUUUCAAAUCCCGGCAUAACCUGCGGAUCCCCCUGGCAUAACCCAGGAUUUCCUUCUUUCAAAUCCCGGCAUAACCCGCGGAUCCCCUAGCAAAACCUAGGAGUCUUUUAUUUUUCAAUCCCGGCAUAACCCGCGGAUCCCCCUAGCAUAACGUAGGAGUCUUCUUUCAAAUCCCGGCAUAACCCACGGAUCCCUCGAGCAUAACCAAGGAGUCUUUUCUUUUUCAAUCCCGGCAUAACCCGCGGAUCCCCCUAGCAUAAACUAGGAGUCUUUUAUUUUUCAAUCACGGCAUAACCCGCGGAUCCCCCUAGCAUAACUAGGAGUCUUCUUUCAAAUCCCAACAUAACCCGCGGAUCCCCUAGCAUAACCUAGGAUUCUUCUUUCAAAACCCGGCAUAACCUGCGCAUUUGAUUUGAUUUCCUUUUGGUGUCAUAAGGGGGUCAGCCAGCAGUAGCAGCAUCAUCAGCAGUGAAAUCACAGCUCAUGGUAGUACCAGCUACCAAACAUACCAGAACUACACUAACCUAAUUCCUUUAUAGCCAGGAAUAUGUAGGCAACCUUUAAAGUAGGUUUCGGUCAGAUAGUUUUCAAAAUGCUUCUCAUGGAAUGCAAAGCAGACAAAAAUCUCUCAAUUGCUCAUCUAUCUUUGCCCGGAAACCCUUCGUGUCUCCGAGCAAAGAGGGGCAGCUGUGAGCAUGUAAUUUUUGCCUCGCUCUAAAUGUUCCUAUAAAAUUCAUUAAAUUAGGGUUUUUCUUUUAUUAUUUGAAUUUUUAGGAUUUAUUUGCGUGAUUUUGUGUUUAUUUGCAUUUUUCCCUUUUAUUACUUGAAUUUUAGGAAUUAACUGCGUGAUUAUGUGUUUAUUUUUAUUUUUGUUUUUUAUUAUUUAAAAUUUUUAGAAUUAAUUGCAUAAUUUUGUGUUUAUUUGUAUGUUGCACGUUUUAAUUAAUAUAAUUAGUAAAAAUAUAAAAAUGGCAUGUCUACAUUUAGGACUUAAUUUUCUAUUUUUUCUUUUGGGUUAUUAGUUAAUUAAUAUUGAAAACAAGAAAUAACAAAAAAAAAAGAGAUUGGUUAUUCUUACAUGUGUUCAAUUUUCUUUCAAAAUUUAGAAUUUAGGGUUUUAUUUAGUCUAUUUUGUAGAAGUUAAAUAUGCUUUGAUUUAUUGUUAUUUUUAUUACUAAAAAAUCUGAAAAUAUAAUAAAUAAAUAAAAAGAUAAUAAAUACAUAAAUAUGGGUCUUUGUUAAAGACCAUAUUUUGGGCCACUUCUAGCCACAAACCUGCCCAAAAAUCACCUGACCCAUUAAAUAAACCCAGACCCAAAGCCCCCCACCCGGUCCAAAACGGCAGGCUCAAAGCGGCGUCGUUUUACGUCAAAAGCAUCUGGGCCGUUGAUCAAUCUUGAUCGAACGGUCAAGAUGCAAGCGGUGUUACACUAUAUAAGUAUCGGAUAACACCCCCUACCAAAAGACGUCGUACCAUAUCCAAAAAAUAACCUUAAUUCUGCCGGUGUAACACCACCACAUCCCCACCAUCCCUCCACCGCCCGCCGGCGGCGGUGUAACCCCAAAUCCACCCAAGUUUACACUCUAUAAUCCCCGUAUUCUCCUCUUUCAACCCCCUAAAAUCACCCCUCAAAACCUAGCUAAACUCGUCGAAUCUUCUUCCAAAGGAGCGGCUGCUCCGCCGUCCACGGCGGCGCAGGCUCCAAUGGCUUCCAAAUUAACACCCCUACUCCCCUUGGCCUCCCUUACCCAAAAACCAAUCCCGUUUCCCUCGAACAACUCCAAGCUCUUCUUACAUCUGAGAUUUGACCUAAUUUUGAGACGGAUUAUUUCAAGCCUUAUUUGGGUUUCCAAAUAGAGUUGCAUGUUUGUUUUGACCAAAAACAAACAUGUAAUUCCGUUUGGAGAUUCAAACUAAAUCCGACCAAGCCUUGUUGAAGAUCCAAGUAGUGAGUUCACCUCUAUUCUUUUUCUUCUUUGUUGAUUUUCGUCUUCAUUCUUUUUUUUUUCUUUCUUGUCCAGCAAUUGGGUGUUAUAUUAUUCCUAAUUUUUAGUUUAAAUUGAAAGUGUCAUCGUGUCUAGUUUGUGAGUUAUUCGAGUAGUUAGUCCUUUAGACUGGAUGCUUGAUUCUAGUUGUGGUGCUAUAUUUCUCAAACGAUUCUGAUUAUUACAAAUUUGCUUCAGUAUUUUUAGCCUGGAUUCCGUUUAGGUUUUUAAUUUUUUAAAAUAUGAUUUGGUUUUGUUAGUAGGUUAAUUAGUAGUUAGAUUUCACAGUAGGAUGCCAUGUUGGUGUAGCUGUGCAUGUUUCUUUUGAAUGUCUUCAUUUCAGUUUUUUACGUAAAUCCAUGUUAGCUUGUAGCAGUGAUAAGUAAUAAGUCAUUAGUCUUAGAUUUUCAAUUCAAUUUUCUGAUUAGUGGUUCAGAUUUGGUCAUGUUUUGGUUGUAGCUGUUACUUAGCAGUAAUUAGUUUAAGACAUAGCUUAGUAAUGAUAAUUCUAGUAUAUUAAAAGGGUAGUAUAGGGUUUUAGAUUGGUUCUGGUAAUUUUAGGAUAAAACGAGGGUACUAUAGGUAGUCUAUAAGUAAGAAACAAUGCUAGAAUCCUUUAGACCCUUCUAGAAGGGGACUUUAGUCUAAAAAUCAGUAGUUUAGUGUUGAUUGUUGUAGAAAUUCAGCUAUAUGCGAUAAAAAGAUGACCUGAAAUACAUUAGUUGAACAAGUAAAUCUUCAAUAUCUGUCCUGGGUUCAAUUUGAGUUGGUUAGGUCAUUGUUCCAGCCAUUUUGAGUUAGAGUGCUGAUUGUAUAUGGUGUUAAAACCCUCCUGGGUUCCUGUUUAGCUGUUUGAGGUUCAUUUGAGAUAUUGGAGUGGCUUUUACUGUUUGACUUUGGGUUUAAAACUUUCCUUGGUGUUUGGUAGCAUUUCUAGGAUCAUUAACUACUCAAAAGCUGUGGAUUCCUGUGAAUAUUAUGUUGUUUGAGUGUUGCUAACUCUCAGUUUUGUUCUGCACAAAUUCCAGGUACAUUUUCAAUCUCCAAUGAUGUGUGAAGUUUGAACCUAAUGAAUACAAGUUGAAGAUGUCCAUUAUUUGUUCUUCAUCAGUUUUAGUACUAUUAUAUUUAUCAUAGUUAAGACAAUAUCGUGUAAAAUCGGACAUUUUAACUGAUUUGCCUUGUAAAUGAUUAUAGGACUGUUUUUGGACUGUUAACAAUUGUUUUGUUUUGAUUCCAUGAAUAAAUACUGAUAUUAGCAUAAUCCUAUUAAGGCUUAGAGUAGUUACUUCUUCUUUGGCAUCUCGACUGGGGAGCACCUUCCCUUUCCUUUGACCAACGGGUCCUCAAAACCUUUAUGAUUUUGUGCCGAACCUGGUCUCCAUCUUCGAACUUCUCGUUUGAUGAGACCCCAGGUUUAGCUGCUAGUGUAAUGAAUCUGUAAUUCCAACAUACCUGGUAUGGUGACAUGAUUAGGCUAGUGGAUGCGAUUAUAUCAUGAUUAAAUCCAGGGUAGAUGAAUGUUUAUAAUGGGUCUAUUUAGCAUUAUUCCUGUGAAUCAUUAAGCAUAAAAUUGUUGAUCAUAUGUGAACCUGAAGGUCGGUUCUAAUUUUGCCUUUACUUGGUAUUAUUUCUCACUUACAUGAUUUAAUAUAAAAAUCUGGAAAUUGUUUGCAUGUUUAGUGGACAUUUCUAGCUUGGUUCACCAUGUAUCUCCAUUUUGGGCUCACAUUGAGGCCCAAAUAUGAUAAUCCUUGCUCGCCAGCUUCAGUUGAAAGCAUGAUUGGGCGAAUGUGGAAUUUCAAAUUAGAUAAUACGUUGAAAUAAAGGGAAUUUGAUUCUCACAUCAGUUAGCCAAGCCUUUGUAGAGAUACAUUUUAUAGAAAAGUAGUAGCUUGUUUUAGGAAUGACAUUUAAAAAUAAAAACGAGGUGUGCUGUGCCAAACGGAACCCAUGAGUUGCGUGGCCAUCGUGAAUUGUUUAUACUAAAAUACUUAGAGAUUGGGAACAUGCCGUUUAGCGAAUUUCAAGGCUGCCCGCAAAGACAAUAACACGUUAGUCGCUUUUAGGCGCGUCUUUAAUAAAUUUAUCUCCUUAAGUAUGGGUGCGUAUUUAUGUGACCCAAAUUCAAAUCUUAAUGGAGUUGAAAUAUGUCAAAAACUACGUGUGCAUUUAUGUGACGUGGUUUGCGACAUGUUUUAAUGCCAUUGCAAAUUUCCUUAAAAAUAUUAAAAGCAGUAUAAAAUAAUUUAAAAUUGCACUCUAGGAUGAACAUGUGUAGAAAAUCAGAAUUUUAGCCAGUUAUAAUAGUUUAAGCGACUGUGCUAGAACCAUGGGAUUCGAGGGUGCCUAACACCUUCCCUCGGGUCCAUAGAAUUCCAUACUUAGAAUUUCUGAUUCACACACUCCAAUUGGGCAGUCAAAAGAUUUCCUCGAUUUGGGAUUUUAAAUAAACUGGUGACUUGGGAUACCAAAAGCCAAACCUAUCCCAAGUGGCGACUUUAAAAAAAUAAAUCCCAUCUCGAAUAAUGUCACUUUAAUUGGAAAAACUCCCUUAUACGUUUUAUUCUUCGGGGUAGCCGUGUAAAAAGGAGGUGUGACACACCCCUGCAACGGUAUUAUACGUGUACUUCUUCUUCUUAUUUCCUUAUCUUUGCUGGUAAUUGAUUUGUGGCAUUCCUUACAUUGCUCUACGGUUGUUCUGUUGUUAUCUGUUACUCCCCGCAGCAUGUUUUCCCCGCCCAACUUUAAUUGUAAUUAUCUGCUUCUGUUUCUGCUGUAUAUGAUUGAACUAUACAUAUUUAUUUGGUAGUCUGGUCCUACCAUCGUCACUACUUUGUCGAGGUUAGUCUAGGCGCUUACAACACAUGGGGUCGAUUUUGCCGAUACUACACUCUGAACUCUUUUGUGUAGAUCCCAGUACUGUAGACUUCAGACCGCAGUGAGUUUGAUAUUUCUUGUUCAUUAGGCGAUACGAGGUAGUCCUGUAGGCGUCCGCAAGACUUGGUGUCUCCUUCUAUCAACUAUUCCUAUUUCUUUCAUGUAUUUCCAGAGAUAGUGUUAUAUUUAUUUCUUUCAGACCUUUAUUUGUGGUAUUGUUAGACAGUUUGUGAAUUUGUGACACCAAUCUUAGGUAGAUUUGUUAUAGAUUGAGCAGUAUAAUUAAAACUUUACAAUGCACUCUUCCGCUUAUUCAAUUUUGUUGUUAUCUAAUUGUUGGCUCUUAACUGUUAUCAGAUUAAAAAUGGAAACAAUGUAAAUAAUUUAGUUGGUUGGCUUGCGUAGCUUUCACUAGUAGACACCAUCAUGACUCCCGAAGGUAGGAAAUCCGGAUCGUGACAAUAUAUUUGGUGUCUCGAACAAAUAAGUUUUUGGACUCGGGUAUGACGAUUUGUGGGUGUUUCACGUCUCAAGAGGUAGGUAUGAGGUUAUGAUUGAUUAAUAUAAGAAAGAAUUACAUCCUAUGUCACUUGGCCUAAUAGCCCAACCGAAAAUGGCCCACAUUUGAAGCUCUUACCCUAUAUAGCCCAUGUUAUACAUAACUUGAAAGAAACUUUUCAGCCUUUAGCCCACUAUUAAAGACAUACUUUUAGGGUUUUUAAUAUUUUCCUCUUUCUUCAUUCCAUUCUCUCUCUCACACCGCCUCUCACUUCUUUCUCUCUAACCCACAUAGAUUCCUCAUCCUCUGCCCAAUCAAAGGCCGCCACAAUCAUCAUUCUACACAUAAAAAAAUAAUUCCCGUGGAAGGAGUUAUAUCUCAUCGCCUCUCACUUUUUUCUCUCUAACCCACAUAGAUCCCUCAUCUCUCUUAACCUAGCCCCCGCUAUUCCCCCUCCUUUAUCCCCCACGCAGUUCUGCCAUUAAUGGCUCGAAGAAGGCUCGAAGAAAGACUCUGUAGUCCAUGGCGGCAAGCAGAAGAACAAAGAAGAUUUUUGAAAGAAACAUGAAAAUACACACAUAUCUGAAAAUAAAUAGCUCUCAAACUUGAUUUGCACCAAUAAACAACCACUAAUUUUGGAGGAUUUUGAAGUUUGAAGUUCUGGAAAAUCAUAACUAUGUAACAUGUUAUAUCGAUACUGUAUAAUAGUGUAUAAUUGUGUAUAUGGUUAUACAGACACCUCUUAUACACUAUUAUACAUGUUUAUACAAGUUAUACCGUAUUGUAUAAUUAUGUAUAGAUGUGUAUAUUUGUGUAAUGUUGUAUAAAUAUAUAUAUUUUUUCAGUUUAUAAGGAUGUAUAUACAUUGUUAGCGUGUAAGAGGUCUCUAAAGAAGUUUGACACUUCCUUCUCUUCUUCUUUUUUGUGUAUGUGCUAUAUGAAACAGAUUUGUACACGUCGGAGGAAUUCUACAAUUCAUUUAUCAAAUUUUUAUUUUUCUUUUAUCAUGUUAGAUUGCUUCAGCAAUUGCACAUAAAGGUGUUUGAAUUUCUUACCUUCAGAUAAUAUGCAUUAUUUAGGAUAGAAUUUUUGAGUUGCGUUGUGGCUUAUUUGCAUUUUUUUUAUCAAAUGCUUAAUAAUCAAAGGAAAUCUAGAGAAUGAAAAUAACUGGUUGUAUAAAGAGGGAACAAUAACAGUAGUUGAUUGUGUAAAAUAAGCUAUUUUUUCGAAAAUUAGCCGAUUAUUUUUGAGCUAUAGAUUUGCAAUGUAAUAUCUAAGCUAUUAUGUUACAAGUUAGGUAUUUGAAUUAUAUUUAUGUGAAAUUAUCCCUUAAUAUAAAGGUCUUUGGAUUGCAAUCUCCAUAAAUGGUAUUCUUGUAUAUUUCAAAUAGUUCAACAUUAUUAAAUAUGAGACUAUAGAUAUAGAAGUACAUUGAGUCAAUAUAGAGCUCAUGCUUGAUUAAAAUAUAUGUAUAUACUGAUCGUGAUUGCUUCAGCUUUUUAUGUGAUUUCUAAGAAUACUUCCCCUUCCACAUAAUAUUAAAAAAGAAUUACAAAUAUACACAAUUUUACAUCAUAACAAAAAAUAAUUUGUGGUUUUAAAUUUUAUUUGAUCUAGUUCGUAUUGUUCAUAUUUUAAAAGUAUUAACAAAUUUAAGAUCUUUAUUCUUACAAUCAUUAUUUUAAAAACUAUGAAGGUAAAUCCGUAUCUCACAUUUUUACUCUCUCUUCUUCUUACUUCGUUCACAUAUGAUUCAAGGGGUCAAACAUUUUCUGCUUCUCCCCUUAUGUCACCUAGUUACAAUAUAAAAAAAUUAAGAGUAGAAAUCCACCAUUGAAGGCCAUUCUCUGUUUUCAAAAAUAGAAUUUUUUGAGUUUGUUAGUUGUUUGGAUUAAGUGUUGUUCCAAUUGAUUGAAAAUAUCAAAAAGAGUUUAAAAUUUAAAUUUGAAGCGGUUUGGAGUAGAUUUGAGCAAGAUUUGAAUUAAAUUUCCAAAAAAAAACGCAACAAUAAGACGAAGCCAGUUUUUUGUAUAAUGAUGCAUAGUCUUGUAUAAUACUGUAUAUGAGUGUACGCAUCUUAUUCAUUAUUAUACACUUUUAUGCAUCUUUAUACAAGCGCCCAACUUCUUUCACCAUUUUCAAUUGCAAUUCUUGUUCAAAACCAAUCUAAAUCUCCAUUAAAUGACUUCAAAUUUUGUAUACAGCCUUUUUAUACUAUUUCUAACAAGUUUAAAUAAUAUUCACUUUAAAUUUCUCAUAAAAUUAAAUUUAAGUUUGUUAAAAAUCUAAUUUUUACUAUCUAAAUGAGUUUGGUUUCUUGAACUGCUAAUUGAGUCACAAUCAUUGAUUAGAAAAUUAAUUUAAAAGUUUGAGCAAUUUUUGUAAAAAUUAAAUAGUAAUUAGUAAUUUUGAGAAUUUAUUGAAGUUUAAUUUUAUCCUAUUAUUUUUGGUUAGUUGAUUGUAAUUGAAAUAUGAUAUAUAAAUUUGAAAAGCAGGGAAGAAGUUGUGUUUUAUGUGAAAUUUCCCCUAAUAUUAAUGGCGAUUAAGGGUCAUUCUACUCUUCUGUUUUCAUUGCUGCUGCUUUUUAUCUUAAUAAGUUUGAAUAACACAAAUGGAAAUUGCGAGCAGGAGUACCAUUUCAAUAUUGAAGAAGCUACAAUCAAAGAUAUACAAUUAGCGUUUGCCCAAAACAAGCUCACAUCAAGACAACUCGUUGACUUGUAUUUGCAUAAAAUAGAAACCCUUAAUCCUGUUCUUCGUGGAGUUAUCGAAGUGAAUCCGGACGUGCGACAACAAGCGGAUGAAGCUGAUAAACAAAGGCAGAUAAUUAAGAAGAAACUGAGCAGUUUAUACGGUAUUCCUGUUCUGGUCAAAGAUAGCAUAGCAACAAAGGAUAAGCUGAAUACUAGUGCAGGGUCUUACGCGUUGCUUGGUUCGGAGGUGCGUAGAGAUGCUACAGUUGUGGAGAGGCUAAGGAAUGAUGGUGCUUUGAUUUUAGGAAAGGCUAGUAUGAGUGAAUGGUACCAUUUUCGAUCUUUCGGUAUUCCUGAUGGAUGGUCUGCUAGAUGUGGCCAAGGUGUGGUGAGUUCUCACAGCAUACUUGCUUUUCCUUCCACAUAUUGUCAUCUCCUCGCAUACUUUCCUUUUCAAUCUGUCCUUAAAAUAAUGUCAUAGUUCCUUAUUUAGAAAUAAUGUAACUUUGGCUUGACUUAUAAACACCGCCACAUAAAUUUGAGAGUAGAAAUAGUAUUACUUUCUUUCUCUCUUCUUUCAAAAGGAGGACUACUGGAGGUAGGUUCCAAUCAAGGAAAAUAAAGAGGUAAUACUGGAGUACGUAGUUUGUUUAUACUCGUCGAUUAGUUUGUAAAAGCUCCUUGAUUAAAAUUUAUUGACUCAACCUAUGGCUUGAAGAAUGUCUGUUAUGACAGAUCAGUCAUUCAAUUACCUUCAAUUCCAAAUUAGGUUGGGGUCGGCUAUAUGUUAGUCGUACUUCCUGCUACAAUUUAUUGUUUGUUUGAAGAAAUACUCUCAGAAAUUUUACUGUUGUGGUCCGUCCUUGUGGAAAAUGCAGAACCCCUAUGUGGAAGGAGGAAGUCCAUGUGGUUCAAGCAGCGGAUCUGCAAUAUCCGUAGCUGCUAACAUGGUGGCUGUGUCACUAGGAACUGAGACUGAUGGUUCAAUUAUCUGUCCUGCUGAAUACAAUGCUGUUGUAGGCCUCAAACCCACCGUUGGACUCACUAGCCGUGCUGGUGUCAUUCCCCUCUCUCCUCGACAAGACACAAUUGGGUAAUUUCUGUAUGCUAUUGUCAAAUUAGAAUUGCUUCAUUCCAUCAACGACCAACUAAGCGUCAACCCGUGACUAGUUGGAGCAAUUAUAUGAAUCUGUUACGAUCCUAAACCCGAAUCCGGUCGUGAUGGCACCUCUCGUGAAGACAAGGCGAGCCAAUUAACCCAAUUCUCUUUUUAAAAUAGUUAAACAACACAAAACAAUCUAAAACAUGAUUUCAUAGUAUCAAGUAACAGAUAAUAUUAAUAAAAUGCGGAAUAAUAACCCAACACAGCCCUAACCGGGGUGUCAAAGUCAUGAGCAUCUAACUAUACCAAAUCCUCAAAAGCAACUACAGAGUUUUAAAUACUGAACUAAGAACAUAAAAGAAGUAGAUAGAGAGGAGCUCCAGGCUGCGAACGCCAACAACUACCUAAAGACUCCUCGAAGAUUCGCCUGAAGCGGGGAAGAAUCAGCACUCGGGAGAGGGACCAGCUAUGCCUGAAUCUGUUCACAUGGUGCAGGGAGUAAAGUGAGUACUCCAACUCAGUGAGUAACAAGUGUAAAUAACAACUGAAAGUAAGAAUAUACAGAAGUCACAAGGCAUUUUAUAAUGAAGCAGUAAAAUUAUUUAAAAAGUAGUAAACCAGUGAUAAGCCAGUAAAAUCCUUUCUAAAAAAUAAACAGGUAAUUAAUAGACAAUUAAGGGAAGGUAAACAAAUAGAAGUUCGCUCCUCAGGCACAGUUUCAAUAAAUCCACCCCUCGGGCAACAACUUAGAACAUUUCCAGCCCCUCGGGCUCAAUCUCACAUCAUAAUGGGUACCCGCGCUUACUGGGGGUUUAUAGACUCCUGAAGGGGACCCUUACGAUCCAAGCGCCAUAAUAAGCCAUCUCGUGGCAUCACAACUAGGCCUUUGGCCUCAUAUCAAUCAAGCCACCUCGUGGCGUACAUAUCUCAGGCCCUUGACCUCCAAUCAGUAUCAGUGCCUCCUCACAAUAUAGGCCCUCGGACUUUACUCAGUCAAAAUCAUCAAAAGCCCCUCAGGCAAUAGUAAACCAGUAUUUUCUCAGCCCAACAUCGUUUAAAAUAUUAUUUAAGUCCCAAAACUGAGUAACAAUGGCUAAGUAGUAAAUCACUGGAAAAUAACAUGAUUGAGUUCAAGUAAUAAGUCAAAACAGUGAGGAAAUAUCAAUGAAGAGCCCCGAAGGGUUCAAAUAGUUGGCACUAGACCCAAAUAUGGCAUUCAGCCCAAAUAAUGAUGAUAGCAAAAUAUUUUUUAACCAAAUACGCGGUAAAAUCAUCAAUCAGGACGGACCAAGUCACAAUACCCAAUAGUGUACGACUUCACGCUCGUCAUCAAGCGUGUGCCUCACCUCAACAUAGCACUACGAUGUGCAAUCCGGGGUUUCAAACCCUCAAAACAUCAUUUACAAUCAUUACUAACCUCGAAUCGACUAAUUCUCUAGUUCGCGACGCCUUUGCUCCUCGAAUUGGCGGCCACGCGCGUCGAAUCUAUCCAAAAUCAGAACGAGGGCAUCAAAAUAUGCUAAGGGAACAAAGAUCAAGCAAAAACAAUCAAUCAAUGUUAAAAAUAGCGUGAAGCGAGGAAAAGCGACAACCCCCAUUUCACGAAAAGUGAGAAGCGAGAAGCGAAGCGCCCACUUUUUUGAAGUGAAGCGGAAUUUUUUUUAAAAAAAAUUAAAUAAAUACGACAUAGACAACACAUGUAAUUGUAAGCAAAUGUUCAAUACUUGAAUUAACAAACUAAAGAGUAGCAUUAAUUAAAGCACAAAAUAAGCAUCAUAUUCUUCUACAAAUUGUCAAUAGUAGCAUAAAUUAAAGCACGAAAUGAGCAUCCUAUUCUUCUACAAGAUUGUCAAAUUCUUGUAUUCCACUAAAUCCAUAGGACCUUUGGUCUUACCAGUAGAUCCACACCUAGAAGACAUUGGCGAAAGCAUCCUUCCCCGCUUUUGUGAUUUUGAUGGAAGCGACGAAGCAUCGCCACUUUCUUCUGUUUUAUCAUCAUCGUCAUCAAGAUUAUAAAGUUCUUGUUCAUGAAUCAUUUGACUUUGAGUCUUUUAACACUUCAUCUUCUUCAUCAACUAGGGACAAAAUAGCUGCCUGUUUUCCCUUCCUCUGUGAACUUGAAGUUGAGAUACUCCCCCUCAAUUCAUAAAUCUUCUCCCCAAUUCCAUGCGCCUCAGCAACAUCACCCCAAGUGAUAUCAGAAGUAUCAUCAAAUACUUCUUCAUCUACAUGAUCUUUGGGGACUCCAGUUAGCCAUUCAUUAGCAUCAUCAAUGUUGUCCGAACUAAAUUGCGAGCGUUGUAACGACGCCUCAAUGAUUAUUGUGCUUAAUGAAGACUAGAUCAUUGAGACGCUUCAAAGUUAGUUUGUUCCUCUUUUUAGUAUGAAUCUGCAAAUAAUAAGUAAUUAGUUAGAUUAGAACAAUUGAGAUAUAAUUUAAUUAUCUCAAUAUACUAAAUCUUUCUUCUUAGUUCUUACAUGCUCAAACAUGCUCCAAUUCCUUUCACACUCGGAUGAACUACAUGUUAGACUUAGAACCUUGAUGACAAACUUUUGUAAAUCUGGAGUGGAAUGACCAUAUUGCUUCCACCAUUCAACUGUAGAAGUAAAACAAAAUUUUCAAAACAUAAUAUUAAUUUAUAAGUAAAUAACUUAUUAACUAUGAAACAACAUAUAAGUCCUUGCUCACCUGGUGACUUCGUCGUUCUCUGUCUAAUGGCGAUGUUAUUUCCAAAAAGUUGUUCUAAGCACUCGCUCACCUGUUGACUUCGUCGUUCUUUGUCUAAUGGCCAUGUUAUUUCCAAAAUGUUGUUCAGCAUUCCUAUAAAUACUAAAUUGCUCUGUGAUUUUAUCUUGCAUGGAUUCUUCAGGUAUCAACUUCUCAAUGCAUUCAUAUUAUCCAUUCCACAAAGGUUCAUCUCUUAAAAUCCUCUCUUCAUUGUCAUAAAACAGUUCCGGGUUCAAAACAAGUCCAACUGCAUGCAAAGGGCUAUGAAGCUUACUAUCCCGCCUUUUAUCUAUGAUCUCAAAAACUCUUUUUGUAUUUUUUUAUCACUGCCAUUCCACAAAGGUUCAUCUCCUAGAAUCCUCUCUUCACUAGCAUAAAACAGUUCCGGAUUCAAAACAAGUCCAGCUAUAUGCAAAAGGCUAUGAAGCUUACUAUCCCACCUUUUAUCUAUGAUCUCAAUGACUCUUUUGUAUUUUGUGUGAUCACUAAAAGAGGCUUGAAUAGCCUCCUUUGCCCUAUCAAUUGCUUCGUACAAGUAGCCCAUUGGUGGCCUUUGCUCCCCAUCCACCAAAUGAAGCACUUUAACUAAAGGACCACCAAUCUUCAAUGCAUGAACCACAUUGUUCCAGAAUAAGGAGAAAGUAUAAUAUUUGCAGAUUCUCUUUUCUCUUCCAUUGUUUCUUUAUAAAAAAAAAUAGAUGGUAAAAGUGUCUAUAUUCUAUUUUGUGUGGUGGAUUCUUUUUUAAUAAUAGUUUGUUGGAUUAUCACUUUGUGUAUUUAUUCAAUUGAGCAUAAAAUGCAGCCUCGAAAUUGUCACCAGAAUCUUGUUUCCCAUUUUCUAUUGCAGACCUUCCGAAACCUCGUUAUGCUCGUGUAAAUACUCUGAAGAUGAUUUGAACAAUAUAGGAAUGCACUCUAAUUGCCUGAUUAAAGAUAGUAGUGAAGGGUCUUUCCUUGAAAAUAUCACCAAAGAUCAAAUUAACAGAAUGUGCUGCACACGGAGUCCAAUAGAUAUGCCGGUAGCAAGCAGACAUCAUUUCACCAGCUUUAACAUUUUCACUGGCAUUGUCCGUGACAACUUUAACAACAUUGUCUGCUCUAAUAGAGUCAAUUGUACUCUUGAAUAAAGAGAACAGUUUGGUUGAAUCAGUCGAAGAGUCGCUUGCAUCAACAGACUCAAGAAACCGGCUUCCCUUAGGAGAAUUCACCAAGAUAUUGAUGAUCAUUUUCCAUUUCUCGCUGUCCACUUACCAUGACAACUUGAACAACAUUUUCUCCAAUAGAGUCUAUUGUACUCUUGAACAAGCAGAACAUUUUGGUUGAAUCAGUCAAAAAGUCGCUUGCAUCAACAGACUCAAGAAACAGGUUUCCCUUAAGAGAAUUCACCAAGAUAUUGAUGAUUAUUUUUCCAUUUCUUACUGUCCACUUAUCCAUCAUUAUGGAACAACCAAACUUGUUCCAUUCUACUUCGUGCUCCACCACGAUUUUCUUCACCUCUUCCACCUCACUUUUUAGAUAUGGUCCACUAACUUUAUAUAAGUUGGAGGCUUUAUUCCUGGACUAUAUUGGCCUACGACCUCAAUAAAGGCAACAAAAGUGUCAGUAUAAUUAACACAAUUAAAAGGAAGACCUACAUCAUACAUCCACCGGGCAAAGCAGGUAACUGCACGGUCCCUUAAAAUCGCUUUUGCAUCAACUUGAGGAUUACCACUUUUUCCUCCCUUAUCUACAGAUUUUUGCGGGAAGUAACAAUCCAUAGGACCUUUGGUCUUACCAGUAGAUCCACACCUAGAAGACAUUGGCGAAAGCAUCCUUCCCCGCUUUUGUGAUUUUGAUGGAAGCGACGAAGCAUCGCCACUUUCUUCUGUUUUAUCAUCAUCGUCAUCAAGAUUAUAAAGUUCUUGUUCAUGAAUCAUUUGACUUUGAGUCUUUUAACUCUUUUCUUUUUUUGAAGGUAUGCUUUCAAUUCUUCCUUCACGUGCCCCGGAAAUUUAGGACAAGAUGCAGCAUUUGGAUCACCAUCGAUUAGAUGCACUUUUUGACGAUAGAUUCCUCAAUUUGUAAUCUUAUCACAAAAAAGACAGCUAAUGGCUAUCUUGUUGGUCUCGUUAACUCUUUUAGAGUAAGCCCAAACCGGGUCUUUCCUAUCUUCUUUUAGCGCCAUUUAAAUAUCAACUACAUAACACAUAAGAAAGGCAAUAAGAACUAAGAAUAAAAAAUAUGUAAUUUGGCAGAAUUUGGGCAGAAAUUUUCUGAAAAAAAUUCGCUAGCAUUUCUGUGCUUUUUGGACGUUUAGAAAGAAAAAGGAAAAGAAAAAGAAGAAGAAGAAUGAAAAUAAAAACAUACAUGUUGAAACUUGAAAGCUGUUGUUGACUUGUUGUAAUGUUGAAGAAGCAGAAGAACCCUAGUUUGUUUGAACAAAUCGUUGCUUCAUGUGAGGAAGAAAUCGUUGGUUCUUUGAGGAAGAAAGGGUUGGUUUAAAACCCUAGGUUGCUGCUGAAGAAUGACUAAAACAGAGACUUACUCGAUUUUGGGUCUUUUAAUUGAAAAAGACACGUUUAGGCUUUUCAGGUAGAAGAGACCGCUUUUAGGUACCUAAGUCGCUUUUGGUACAGGUAGCGACAGACUCGGCCCUCUGCUUCGCUUCUCGCUUAAAGCGAGGAAGCGGUUGCUUUUUUGAACACUGCAAUCAAUAAAGGGCACAAAUUUCGAAAUUACCAAAACCCGACCUCCGAGCCCACGUCUCGAAAUUCAAAUUUUUUUACACCAACAGAUUCUUUAUCUCCCCACGAGUUCAUACAUACCAUGAACAUCAAAAUCCAUCCACAAAUGAACCUUCAAAUCCCAAAUGUUGGUCUCCAAUUCAAGUCCUAGCUCUUAAAUUUUUAGGCUUAGAUUUCAUGAUUUUCUAGGUGGAAUUCACAUAAUAAUCGAGUUUUAAAUCCGAAAAUCUUACCUUUCAACGAUUCCCCUUGAAUCCCUCUUCAAUCUCCUUCGAAAACCUACCAAAGUGGCCGACUAUGGAGGAAACGAACCCCAAUCGCGGACAAGACGAAUAAAAAACAUUCUGCCUAGGCCUGCUUUUCCUUCUUCGUGAACGCGGUCAAACCCUCGCGUUCGCGAAGCUCAAACUUACUUUGACCAGUUUUUCCUCUAUGCGAACGCUACAUCACCAUCGCGAACGCAAUGCUUUCCUCAACCUUACCUUCGCAAACGCGAUCACUCUUCCGCGAAUGCGAUGAACACUUGACCCCAAACCAAUUGAUCCAAAAGACCCUACGCGAACGCGACUUACCUCAAAUCACAAACCUUCACGAAUGCGGCCUAGCCUCUCGCGAACGUGAAGCUUGCAAAUCCCGGCCCUUCGCGAACGCGUGACUCUCCUUCGCGAACGCGAAGGCCAAACCUGAUGCCUCCCUUCCUGACCCCUUCGCGAACGCGAAGAUCAAAAUGUCUGCAACUGUUGGAACUCAAAAUCUGCAACUUCCUUAAUUCAAAAAUACUUAGAUUGACCAUCUGAAACUCUCACGAGGUCCCCGGGACCUCAAUCAAUGGCACCAACACAUCGUCAAACUUUAUUCAAACUUGUUCCAAUCAUCGAAACACCUCAUACAACAUCAAGUCACCCAUAAGACCUCGGAAGCCUAAGUUUUCUAAAACCUUCCGAAAUACGCUUUUCAUAAAAAACCCAACCAAACCACGUCCGAAUGACCUGGAAUUUUUCAGACACAUCCCAAAUGACAUAACAAAGCUACCGUAACUCUUGGAAUUCCAUUCCGACCCCUAGAUCAAAAACUCGCCUAACAACCGGAAAUCGCCAAAAUAUCAACUUCGCCAAUUCAAGCCUAAAACUACUCCACACCUCCUAAACUCAUUUCGAUCAUGCUCCUAAGUCAUAAAUCACCUCCCGAAGCUAACCUAACCAUUGGAACUCACAUCCUAGCCCUCUAACACAUAAGUCAACAUCGGUUGACUUUUCCAACUUAAACUUCCUUAAAAGAGACUAUGUGUCUCAAAUCUUACCAAAAUCAUUCCGGACUCGAUCCGACAAACCCGAUACCACAAAACACGGAUAACGAAGCAUAAAGAAGCAGAAAUGGGGGAAACGGAGCGGUAACUCAUGAGACGACUGGCCGGGUCGUCACAAAAUCCUCAUUUGUAUCCAUUUUCAAUCAAUCUACUAAAUUAAUUUACAACUUAGAUGUUUUCAAAAAUUAGAUCUUUCCUAAAUCUUACACUUAUUCUAGCUGACAAUUAUUCUGAAGAAAUACUGGAUCUAAUGUGUAAGUGUAAUAACAAUAAUAAAGCCUUAAUCCUAUUGUAUCAUUUCUUCCAUUUCGUUCACUGUUGAGCUAUACUCUAUCUUGAAUUUGAGAGAUUGUAUAAUCUCUAUUAAAAAAAAAAAUUCUUUAUGUGAUUCAAGGCUUACCUUUGUGUUGGGUGUGUGUGAACAAUGUCCCACGUGGAAAGUAGAAAUUCAAAAUGAACCUACUUAUAAGGAGUUAGAUACUCUUAAUUGUGUGAGACAUUUUGGGGAAAACCAUGCGGCCUUGGCCCAAAACGGAUAAUAUCACACCAUAUUAAGAGCAUCUUUGAGCCGUUUUAGCCCAACAACCUCCUGUCUGCUUUUAGCACCUUCAGCUAUUGUGUGGUGUUGUGCACUUGCGCCUAAAACUACUACAUUUGAAAGACUAUGUAGGAUAUGUCCAACUGCUUAACUAGUUUAUCUAAACAUCGUAUAGGCUGCAUAGGCAAAAGGAUUAUAAUAUAUUGCUGAUGAUCAAAUUUGCAGGACUAUAUGCAGAACGGUUUCAGAUGCUGUAUAUGUUCUUGAUUCUAUUGUUGGCUUCGAUAUAAGAGACCUUGAAGCAACAAGGGCAGCAGCAAAGUUCAUUCCAGCCGGUGGCUAUAAACAAUUUCUUAAUGAAGAUGGCCUUAAGGGAAAGAAAUUGGGUGUGGUAAGACAUCCUUUUCUGGCCCUUUCUGAUGUGUAUCAAGCUGAUGCAGUAUUGACUGAUCAUUUGAAGACACUAAGGUAAAAGUAUGAGCAUUAUAGUUUAUUGAGUUCAACAUUUCAUCAUUUUUUCCCCUUUCGGCGCAAGAUUUAUACUCUUAGUAACACAUUUAACCUUUUCUUUCUUUUCAGGCAAAGAGGUGCAGUUGUAUUAGAUAAUCUUGAAAUACCAAAUAUUGAUGUGGUUUUAGACCCCAAUCAAAGUGGUGCGGAAGUUGCAUUACUAGCAGAGUUCAAGCUCUCACUCAACAGUUAUCUAGCAAAGCUAGUCACAUCCCCGGUUAGAUCACUCGCGGAGAUAAUAGCCUUCAACCAGAAUAACCCAGAAUUGGUAUGUCCUUUCUCUAAUCCUGUGCUUUUGACAUGUUUACUGUCAUUUAGUUAUAGAAGUUUUCUUUUUACAAGCUAUAUCUCUUUCACUAAAACUAUGGAUUUACUGUUGAGUUGUGCACAUCGGUGGGAUUUGAGGUCCUUGGUCUCCUUAUAUGAUCUUGGGUAAUCCUCAAGUCAUAAGCUAGCUUUUGGGGUUGAGUUAGACCCAAGGUCCAUUAUAGGUCCAUUUAUCAUGGUAUUAGAGCUAGGCCAUCCCAAUUAUUAUUAUCGAUGUUUAGGCCCCCAUUUAUGUUGUACACGUUCCAGUGCAGGCCUGGGUGUGAGAGAGGUGUUAAGUUGUCCCACAUCGGUGAGAUUUGAUAUUCUUGGUAUCGGCUGACUAUAACAAAUUAUUAUCCUUUUUUUAAAGUUACCAUAUUAGAUAUCUACUAUGAAGCUAUGUUGCGCGGACUCUCCAAAAUGACACUACACCCGUGCCGGAUCCUCCAAAAAUUCGGAGAGUCCGAGCAACAUAGCUACGAAGAGUUUGCAUAGAAUUUGAACUCAAUAAAUUAUUUGGUUGUUGCAAAUAUAAAUACAGGAAAGAAGUCAAAGCUUUGGUCAAGAAAUUUUCAUAGCAGCAGAAGCAACAAAAGGGAUCGGAGAGAGAGAGAGGAAGGCGAUGGCGAUGAUGGAGAAACUUUCAGAAGAUGGAUUUGAGAAACUGAUGAUAGAAAAUGAACUGGAUGCGUUAGUGACUUUAGGUUCAGGUGUUUCCACAGUGUUGGCUAUUGGAGGAUAUCCAGCAAUAAUAGUUCCUGCUGGUUAUAAUAGUACUAAUGGUAUGCCGUUUGGUAUAUGUUUUGGAGGGGUGAAAGGAAGUGAACCGAAGCUGAUUGAGAUUGCUUUUGCCUUUGAACAAGCCACCAUGAUCCGCAGACCUCCUUUUUCCAACUCAAUUCCUUCAUUUUAAAGUAGAUAAUUUGUUUUCCUUUUUCUCAGCAUAGUCACUGAAGUUUGUUUUUUUCCAACCAGUAGUUCGAAGAUCAUUUUCCUGUUUGGGAACUUUCGUAAGUGUAGGGAGUUGGAAACUUUUAGCACAUUGGCUCUAUGAUGGUCAAUUGGAAUGAUACAGCAUUUGACGCAAAUAUCUUCGAGUUACAUUGACCAAACAUAACUGGAAAUGCUGAUUAUUUUUUCCUGACAUCUCUAUUGGUCUUAUUCGAAAUCACAGCGUAUCCUUUUGAUGAAUGAUCAAAAGGACAUAUCCAAUGUUUGAAGAAAAUUAUUUCCAUUUUGCCUUCUCUAAAUUAUUAUGCCAGACAACAAGCUAACAAAUAAUAAGCCAGUGUGGAAUCCCAAAAUGGAAUCAUUGCAGAUGCCUUUAAGCAUGCAGAUGGAUGUUUGCUGUCGGCCCCAAUCCUUCAGUUUCCGGAUUGGAAUAAGGAGUUCCAUGUUCAUACUUACGCAUCACGCUAUGCUAUUGGUGCAAGAAAGGCCGCUUGAUCACUCCAUCUACUUUUGAAAUAUAGGAUCACUAGAUGAACCAUUGAUCCCUGAGCCCGCUUAUCAUACUUGACCUUGAAAUAGGGGAUUGGUUGAUGGGAAGGCUCACGAGGAAUGUGGCGUCAAAGAAUUCAAGCUUAUUCCUUUCACACUAUCGUUUAGUCCAUAAACACAUACAGUCUUAUUUCCAAUUAUGGAUUUCAUCCAUAAUUUGAUGCCAAGGUGAAAUUAUGUUCCUUUUUCAGAGAUGUUGAUGGGGAUAUUAAAAUAAAUCUAAAAUAACCAAUAAACGGCCGAAAUUGAGCAUUCAAACGCUAUUGUGAGUGAAAUUAUCUUCCGUUUUCAGAGAUGUUGGGCGUCGCCCAUUUUGUUCACCAAGUUUCCGAGACUGGGGAUAUAAAAUAAAUCUAAAAUAACCAAUAAACCACCGAAAUUGAGCAUUCAAACGCUAACGUGAUAUAACUCAAGGGCAAGUUACAUAAAGGGCUUCAAUGUUUGCUUACUCUAGGUUUUACAUAAGGCUACAAACAUAUAAACCGGGGGGGAGGGGGUNNNNNNNNNNNNNNNNNNNNNNNNNNNNNNNNNNNNNNNNNNNNNNNNNNNNNNNNNNNNNNNNNNNNNNNNNNNNNNNNNNNNNNNNNNNNNNNNNNNNNNNNNNNNNNNNNNNNNNNNNNNNNNNNNNNNNNNNNNNNNNNNNNNNNNNNNNNNNNNNNNNNNNNNNNNNNNNNNNNNNNNNNNNNNNNNNNNNNNNNNNNNNNNNNNNNNNNNNNNNNNNNNNNNNNNNNNNNNNNNNNNNNNNNNNNNNNNNNNNNNNNNNNNNNNNNNNNNNNNNNNNNNNNNNNNNNNNNNNNCGGGGGUGGGUGGGUGGUGGAGGGUGGUGCAAUAAUGUAAGAACUUACCAAAUGCCAAUAGUAUUUAGUUCAGAAACACACUGUUUUUAUAGAUAAUUAGUUCGGAAUGACGUUAUUUUGUUUCUAGCAAGAAAUCAUUGCCAGUAUAAUUAGGCUAAUAUAAUCCAAUCUUGAAGUUUAACGUGCGCUCUCAAAACUUCUCUUGUUCUUGUUAUUUAGGCAUCAUUUAUUCACACUUAACGGAAGUUUGAAUAUUUUAGAUUUCAAUUAUUAAGUGCAUUUAUUUUUUUUAGAUCUGAAUCUUAAUCAUUCAGAUCUUAAUUAUUAAGUCGAUUUCUUUUUUCAAAAUUUUACAAUCACAAUGAGUCUGAACUGAUUUUGAUAAUUAAGAUCUAUAACAGAGUUUUAAUAUCAUUAAAAUGUCAUACAUUAAAGAAUUUAUGUAAAAAUUAUAUUUCGCUAUUGCUCAUGCAUUUCCACCACUAAUCACCAUUACCACUGCUAUCGAUGUCCUCCACCAUUACAGACUACAUCCACCUACUACUCACAACCCAUUACCACCAUCCUCAGCCACAACCAUCACUCCUGCCAAGCAUGAAUGUCAUUUGUCACUACCACCGAUCAUUAUUUACAAUCAUCACCACCGAUCAUCAAUAUCACAACAAUCACCAUUAUCAACUACCACUGUAUACACCGACUACUGUUAUCACUCACUACCACUAUCAACCACCACCAUCAACUACUAUUGUCAUAGAUCACCAUCUGCUACCCAUAAUCACCACAAUAAACCAACACCAUCACCAACUAUUACCCAAUCGGCAUCUGCAAUCAUCACUAUUAGCCAUCAUCAUUACCAACUAUCAUAUAAUUUUAAAAAAAUAUUUUGUUAAUAUACUAUUAGAUAAAUUGGUACUAAUUGAUCUGAAUUUAUACUUACUAAUUUUUAAAUAAAGACAACUUUCACAUAUUCAGAAUAGAGAAAACAAAUAGUCUAAUUAUUCAGUAUUCAGAUCUUAAUAUUUAGAUGUGUAUACAGAUUCAUACAUCUUAAUCUUAACGUACAUAUUAAUUUUCAGAUGCUUAUUUAGAUUAAAAUAUUUUAAUCUUAAUAAAAACAAACGAGGCCUUAGUUUCUUUACCAGCGUAGGAGCUACUUGAAAGUGGAUGUUUUUACUUUUGCUUUGCUGAAAAUUAAGAUCAAUUGCAAAACAGAUCCUUGCAUUGUGCCUCUGGCUUAAACUAGUGAUUAUGUUGCUCAGCCACAGCGCACUACUUUAAAUUGAAUAUAUUAAUAAUAUUGUAUUGGUUGUGGCGACGUAGACCUCUAUUUUAAAAGGUAAAAUUGGGACUCUUCCGGGACGAGCAUUCGCAAAACGCUUUUGGACUUAUAUGUGAGAUUUAGUUUUAUGAGACUUACAUUUCGGUCAUCGAGACUUACGACCCGGACACGCCCAAUACUCAGUGUACUGGGCCCGCCUAAUAGAACUUUAUGCAAUUAUUUAUAACUAGCCUUAUAAAUCCUUAAAAUUUCUUAAUAAAUUGUUGACUAUUCAAAAUUAAUAUUUUUUCUUCAUCAUAAAUUAUUAAGUUGAGAGUAUUUUGUCACACCCCUUUUUUAUACAAACUCACUAAACCCUCUUAAAAAUAAUAAAAAGAUUUAGUAAAGCUUGAAAAAGAAUUUUCAAUUAGAAAGUGACAAAAUUGUGUGUCCAAAAGGAAAUACUCAGAGUCGCCACCUCACAUUUGAUUUCGGUGUGCCAUGUCACCAUUUUUUAAAAUAAUUUUUCCUUUUAACACAUUUCAGACUCUAAAACCAAACCCGCAUCAGAGAUUUGGGUAAGGAGGUUCAUUUGACUCGAGGAGAAGGUGUUAGGCACUCCCCAAGUCCCGUACAAGUCAUGGUUGCUCGAAUUAAGUUAGCUUUAAAAUAUUCAAUUAAGGUAAAAACAUCACAGAAAAGCAAAAUAAGUAAACACACAAGAGGUUCGAGGCCGUCCCUACCUAAUAAGAGAAAAUAAAAAGAAAAAGAAAAGAAAAGUCCUAAGCUAAUCUAUACUACGACUUCUCCACCAUGCUCGUCAAAGCCUCCAAAAUAUUUACAUAGUUCUUCGGAACAUACCCCGGAUAAUAAUAUUUACAAACAUCACGGGGCAUUCCCUGAAUAAAUUUAAUUAAGAGACAACCUCUCACCUCGAAAUUAACAAAAUCCUAAAGCUUGCCUACCCAAGUGUGGUCGGCCUAAGCAUGCUCCUAGUGAUCAAUGUAAACAAGAUAAUAUCAAACAAAGUUGUUCAUGGACUAAAUAUAUAUUUUUCAUUUAGUAUUACCCAAACCCAAUGGCCUAACACUUGCCUUAAUACUCAAACCACCAAUCAAUAUAUAAAUUAAUCUUUAAAAUGGUAAUACUAAAGAACCAGAAAUAUAUGAUUGACCUAAAACAUGCUCUUGAUAGUAAGUCCCUUUUGGUUACCGUAAUUGUUAUAACUAAUUAUUACACUAUUUGCCUCUCUCGAUUACAAAUAAGUAUAAAUUUAAUUAUAACAUAAAAGAGAUAGAUGUUAUUGAAUAAAUAUUAACAUUUAUCAAUAUUACAUUUAACUAUAUUAUAUCUUCUGCCUCUCUCGAUUGCAGAAUUAAUAAACAGUUAAUAUGUAGUACAAGAUAGAUAGAUGUUAAUAAAUUAAAUAACGCCUAAUUGUAAGAGCAGAUGAAAGUUAAAUAAGUUCUAGCUCAAGCAUGUGAAUUUGUAAAACAAUAUCUAAUAUUAUAUAGAAAUAUUAAGAUCUGUCUUUCUCCCAACACAAGAAAAGUUACUCCAUACUGGAGUUAGCACUAACAAUGGAAAUAUUCUUGUCCAUUAAAUAAGAAAAUACAAAUAAAUAUUCAAGAAGAAUAAUUCUCCCUAUUUAAUUAAAAGCAGGAACUAGAGUAAUUUCCUACACUGAAAUUUAUUUAGAAACAACAACUUAACUACUAUUGUGAUUUAAAAAAAAAAGAAGAUAAGUCGAUAAUAGUGAAAGAAAUAAAAUAGAGAAGCUUAUUAAGAAUUUGGAUUUAGACUUCUAACUCUAAGCUUUCUCUCCGCUUUGAUGCCUUCCUCUGAUCGGGCAACAUCUAUUUAUAUAAAAAAAUUUCAUGAUGACUUCUCCAUUUGGUGCUAGAUUUCCAUAGCAAAUCUAGAUUUUGCAUUUUUCAGAUAUGAGAAUUCGCCAUUCUAAGUUUAGAUUUCAUCGGUUUCAUCAUGUCAAACCGGGAGUUGAUGCAUUGUCACGACUGUAAUGAAUCGCAGCUCAAUUUUACACUUCUUUGUUGUAUUUUUCUUCCUUUUUUUUCAUGCUGCGCAUAACAAUUCUUCUAUAAUUAUUCCUGCAAAAUAAAGUUAAGAAUAGGGAGGAAACAUGAUAAUUUAUAUGUUUUUAUGAGAGAAAUUAUGUUGUUAAGAUCAUGUAAAAUACACUUAUCAGGUUCACGUGGGAUGUCGGAUCCGCCCACAAUCAUGUGGAUGAUGAGUUAUGGUUCUUCUAUUUCAUUUUUCAUAUUUGCCUCUCUUUCCUGAAAUUGAUUUUUGGCUCUGUCGCUGAGGAACCCUCGGAGGUGGCCUUUGUUAAGUAGUCGGGCUAUUUAUUCUUGGAGUUGUCUGCAAUCUUCGGUCCUAUGACUGUGUAUGCCGUGAAUUUCACACGUUAGGUUAAGGUUCUUUUGCGACGGAUUUGAUCAUAUGGGUUUUGGCCACUUGGUGUCUCUGAUUUUACCUAUGGCUGAUACGAUGUCUGAAACAUCAACGUUAAAGUUGUACGCAAAUAGUCGAGGUGCUUUCAUCGGCCUUAUGUAUCUGUUGAAUCUGGCUCUGCUCGCGAGUCCUUGAGAAUUUUGACAUCGGUCUGCCCUUCGGUCAUUUCGAGGUAUGUUAUGCCGUGGACCGUUUCUUCGAUCUUCGGUGUAUGGUUGGUAGAUUUCCUUAUUUGGCUUUGGCUCCUUUGCUAGGAGCCUGCUAGGAUAUACUGAGCCGGAAGGGUCUCCUAAUUGGUCAUUCUCGACCCUAAUCUUUGAUUGAUACCGAUUGUGGACAUCCGCCCAAGUCACGACAGGAUAUUCAACCAAGUUUUCCUCGGUAGUACCCAAUCAUUGUAGACUGGUGGAAACUCCAUUCACUCCAUUUUAAAAUGAUAUACAAACUCCUGCAACAUCUCAUUUGCUCUCUGUUUGAUUUUGAAGACGUCGGAUUUUCUUGUAGCAACCUUGAUGCCACCGGCAUGUGCCUUUAUAAAAAGAAUCUCCUAGCAUGGCAAAUGUAUCUAUCUAAUUUAGGGAUAUGUUCUUGUAGCAACCUUGAUGCCACCGGCAUGUUCCUUUAUAAAAGAAUCUGCUAGCAUGGCAAAUGUAUCUAUCGAAUUUGGGGAUAGGUUGUGAUACUACAUCAUGGCCCCUUUUGAAAGUGUUUCUCCGAAUUUCUUUAACAGGACGGAUUCAAUCUCGUUGUUCUUCAGGUCAUUUCCCUUUACGGAACAAGUGUAGGCAGUGAUGUGCUCGUUGGGAUCCAAGGUUCUGUCGUACUUUGGGAGAUUGGGCAUUCUGAAUUUCUUCGGGAUGCGCUUUGGAGCCACGCUUGAUGGGAAUGGCUUUUGUAGAAUUUUUUUGAAUCAACACCUUUCAGGAUCGGGGGUGCGCCUCGGAUUUGGUCGACCAUUGAAUUAUAGGUCUCCACCUUUUUAUCAUUACCUUCUAUCUUCUUUUCGCCCGAUUAAAUCCUCUUUGUGAGGUCCUCGAGCAUCUUCAUGAUAGCAGGGUCGGCUGCUAACCCGUUGCUUCUCGAUCUUUUCGAGCCGAUCCUGGUGUUGGUGUGCUUGGAGUUUUUUGGUGACUUUGCAGUUGAGCAAUCGCCAGGUGUUAUGUCUAUAACACAUCAAAAAUUGCGUGAAGGGUAAACUCUUGUUCCUCCCGAGCUGGGUUUUUCUGAGCUUCUUGUUGGUUGUCUUGGUAUAUACUUUUAGUAGUCUGGGAGUUAUAUCGACAUGUUGGGCAUUUCGUGAGGCCACAACCACGGGGAUUGGCUCUGGUGCAUCCUCAGGGUUUGUAGUGGUACAUCAACGCAUGAAACAUCUACACCAUUCUCUCCAAGGUCUUCAUGACCGUUGUUUUCAUGUGCAUUCAUUGAGUUAGACAUUUUGACCUGAAAUUAAAAAUUCUUGGGCAAGAAAAAGUGCAAAGAAUAACUUGUGUUUUCAGUAAACUAGCACGAAAACAAUCACUAAUAUUUUUAGCCCGUGGUGGCGCCAAACUGUUUACCUCGAAAAUAGUAAUUACAAUUAGAUUUGAUUCUCUGAUUUUAAAAAUAUGUGAUUUAUUUUUAUGCUAGUUGUUAGGCAGUAGAUACUAAGUGUGUGACUAGAAAAUAAAAUGAGAGCUUGAAGAUCGAACUCUGUGCAAACGGAGUAGCCAAGAAUUGGGGUCUCGAGCUAGCCUAUACUCAACCAAGAGAUCGAGCUAAGCAUUAGGCUUUGGGUAGCCGAUGAAGGACUAACAAUUCUAAGAGCUUUAAUGAGGGCUCUUUAUUAUCAAUAAUGAAUAAUAAAUGAAGAAUAAUCAAUGAAACAUAAUGAAUAUAAGCAAUAAAUCAAAGGAAAGACAAUAAAGAGUGUUUAAGUUAGAGAGCAGAGAAUGUUCUUGUUCUUGUAUUGAAUAUCAUGUGUGCAAAAGAUAAUAAGGACAGUGUUGAAUUUCUUGAUCGACGAAACGAGUUAUUGCCAUUUCAUUUUGACGGACGGUUCGGAUGGACUUCGCCGUUCUUUCCCAACAAAAAUCGAAAGGGUUGUAUCACAUCGAGAUGUCGAUUCGUUUUCCGCCCCCUCGAUGAAAGCCUCUUAGUCAGUCGAACUCUCAAGAAUCUCCAUCAUCGGCUAUCAAGAUACACUCAUACCCACCUAAUAAAGGUGGUAUUCUAUCUCCCAUGCACAGCUGGGCCUGAGGAUCCACAUUUCAAUAUUAUCCUUAGAAUCAGAGAGCUAAUGAGAAGGGAUUGGAGGUGCGAAUUGAGACAUAGAUCGCAUAGGUCCAACAUAAUCCUCCAAACAGGCAGCCAAAGAUGGGCGAGGAUCAAUUAGGCAGGAAGCUCUCAAUUUAUUUCAUACAUUACUUUCUUCUCAAGGUCGAAAGUACUUUACUUCAGUCACUGAAAGACGUGACUGAGGGCUUGAAAGAAGCCAAGCGAUCCGAUCAGAAGGCGGAGGGAAUGAAGGGACCUGCAGGAGGUUGAAAAGCGCCCGAUUCACCAAGGAAUAUUUUGGUUGCUUUUGGCGUUGAUUUCCCUUCCUUUAGCUACUAAGAUGUUUCACGCAUUUCCUGCUGAGAUCCCAAGUCUCCAAUUGGGCCCUCUUGGCCACCCACAACCUUGGCUUUUUAGAGAAUCCGCAUAGAGCUGCCAGCAGGGUUGAGAUAUGGCCUCUGCAAAGGUAUCAGGUUAAAAAGAUGGAUGAAAUUGCACGCGAAGUAUGGCAUCCUAUUUGAAAUGGAUGGUGUGAGGUUGUCAAAUGAUCGACAAGCACCGGUGGACUGCCGAGCGGAAAGUCCUACGACACAGGAGUGAGGGGGCCCACUGGGAUGUCCAUAAUUGAAGCAUUUUUCUUCAUCGACUGUGGGUUUUGACCUAUUCAAAAGAAGUUGGCCGCUUUGAGUCCCAAACUUUCUAUCUUAACAAUGCUGGAAGUUCCCUUUAUAUAGGAGGGUAAAUUCCAACAUAGUACAUAUGCAUUUAUUAUAAAGAUAUGCGGCUAGUACAGCCAUUUAAUGCCAUGGUACGAGAUUGUACUAUUCUUAUGGACUUGGCCAGCUCUAACCACUCGCCUUUAGAAUCUCCCACUCAUUCAUUAUAGCCAUCGAUUUGUACUACCUUGUCGAGGUUUGCCUCGAGCCUUCUGGUUCAUCAAACUUCCAGUUACGCCUCGAGCUUUCUGGCAACAAGCUAUGGAAUGUCAUGAUGACCUCAAAAUCGGACUUCCGAUGUUAGCCGUAUACAAAGGACUAAUUAACCCCCACCCCCAAACAUUAUUAAAUAAAUAUCGUUUUUAUAAACGAACACAUUUAUUUUUUUGAAAUAUUUUCCUCAUUCAUUUUUAUACCACUAAAUCAUGUGCUCAUUCGCUAAUUUUAUAAAUAAGAAAAUGGUCACGUUCCAAGUUUUUACAUCAAGAAAAUAAUUAAAACUAAUAAAAUAAUAAAACCUAAUGUUAACUUAGUGAUGUCCAUAUAAUCUUAAGUUGAAAAGGGGUUGUUUGAUUGGAUACAAGUUAUUUCAGAUUAUUUUGAAAUUUAUUAUUCUGGGAUUAUUAACCUAUUAUUCUAUAGGAAUAAAAAAUCACUAUAAUAACUAAUCACGUGAAUCCUAAUGGAUGAUUGAGAACAUCUAUUUGGCAGUUUUUUUCAUUGUUGAACUAGAUAUAUAGAUUAAUAUUUCUCAUUUUUAGGAACUUACACUUUAUUGAUAACUCAAACAUUAGCACCAAAAAAUUAUUUUUAAUAUAUAAUUUGAAUGAUUUUUAAAAAACUUUUUACUCAUUUAAAUAGGUACACGUAUAACGUACAUAUCCUAAAAAUAGUAAAAUAAAAUGUCAGGAACAUGUGUAAUCGUAAUCCAUUAUAGCGUUAUAAAUAAGACGUUUCAUAUAGCAACCGAGGGAGGCCUUAUGUUAGGGUAGGGGGUUGAUUCACUGGAAUCCGAUAUAUAACUUUGAUAUAUAGGGACAUACAUCAAGGACCUCUUAAAUAUAUUAAUGGUACCCCAAAAAUCACAAAAGACGCCAUGGUAGAUUUUGUUGAAUUCCUACUUGCACUUGUCAACUUGGGAUCACAACCCAACUCUUGCAUUUUAGGUUUUACUUUUACUUUUCAUAGGGAACCACAUUUACUUUUACUGAUUUCAAAAAAAAAAAUCAAUUGUAAUUUAAUACCUGUACAUAGUAAUCAACUUAAUUAAUACUAUUGUUCUUUUUAAGUACCUCCCUCAAAAUAAAAGGCUCUAAACCGUUGCUUCUCUUUCUACAAAUAGAAAAUUAAAAAAUCUCCCUUCCUCUAAGGAUCACUUCGAUAAAGUAGCAACAUCUCUUAAUUUAGCAAAGACGACUCAGUUUAUAUUUUGUUGAUAAAUUAUUAUAAUCGUUAAGGUUUUAAAGAGUUGCAAGCCGAAAUUUAUUGCUGAUAAUUAGCAUUAUCUAAAGAUAGUGUACAUCCACCGUCGUCGCACUCAAAUUUUGGGUCUGGCAACAACAUACUACUUAAUAUAAGGUUCCACAUGUAUUCAGCUGAUAGCGCCGGGGUGGAUGUAUUCAUACAAAUCCUAUAUAUCAGCUGAUAGCUUAGGCUCCACAACAAUAAUGUCACUACAUUUUAGAAAACUUGCUAUUCAUUAUGAGGAAUAGUUUUUAAUUUUUUUAAAAAAAAAGCGAAGAAGAAGAAACCCUGUCGAGUUCUGGUUGUUUAGUUCUGAUUUGGAUAUCUCCCAGAUGGCUGUGUUAGUAUAAUUACACCAACAUAGCAUUCUUAAUCCUCGAAAUAUAAUUACACCACUGCUUAUGUUUUGAGUGAUGGAACAGUCCAGUGAUUGGCAACUAUUUUGGACUCUCCGCAUAGUGCUUUCGAGACCUUCCUUUCAACUAAAUAGCUUGCAUUUGCCUUUAAUACAACCAAAAGAUCUAUUCAUUGAUUGGUACUGGAUAGAGAAGAAACAGAAACCUGAGUGUCAUAAAUUAAUACUUACCCACAUUUUCAUGGAUUAACAAAAUUGAUCAUUUACCCCAACCUAUAGUUUUUUCCCACUUCACCUUGAACUACAUAAAACUGUGGUUCGGAGGUGGAGGCCCCAUGUAAUGGUACUGGACAUAUACCAAAAGAAUCUGUAUAACGAUCCGUCUCAAAUAAAAUGCAUAAACGUCAAUGCAAUCACAUAAAUCCAUGUUCUAAACAAGUGCUUCAAAUGCAUCGAGAACACUCAACACAAGGUGCAAAAUAACUUGUUCCAAAAUCCAAAUUAUUCUAAACUAAUGACGAUCUUACAUCAAACUAAAGGCAGUAUCACCACUCAGACUGUCAGCCUAUCUUUAUGGCAGGUCUUUCAUCUGUCAAUACCUCCUAGGGAAACGGUCCAUAAACCUUCCGGAGGGGCACUCGAAUGCUUGGUGUCCUCUUCCCCCGCAGUUGUGACAAAUCAUCAGGGCCAUGCAAUCACGUCUCAUAUGGCCUACCUGCUGACAAGUUCGACAAAUAAUGUCCCGGAAUCCACCACCACAAUACGGCAGGUCUUUCAUCUGUUAAUACCUCCUAGGAAAACGGUCCAUAAACCUUCCGGAGGGGCACUCGAAUGCUUGGUGUCCUCUUCCCCCGCAGUUGUGACAAAUCAUCAGGGCCAUGCAAUCACGGCUCAUAUGGCCUACCUGCUGACAAGUUCGACAAAUAAUGUCCCGGUAUCCUCCACCGCCACUAAACCCACGACCACCAAACCUACGAGAUGGAUGUCCUCUUCCACCACCUCUCUCUUCAAUAACACUGGCCUUGGGGCAAUCUCUGGCCAUAUGACCAGAUAUGUUACACAAAUUGCACACAGGAUCAUUUUGACAAUCACGUGCCAGGUGACCAGUCUUUCUACAAUUUUUGCAUGCCUUCUCAUUUGUGCAGUCAGUUGCAAGAUGCCCUUGCUUGAAGCAGUUAUUGCACAGCUUCACGUCCCCGGGUGGAAGUGGAGGAGCAGUGCAGUCUCGCGCACGGUGUCCUGCCUUCCCACAGGUGUGGCAAAUUCCUUCAUUUGGACAAUUUCCGGCCGUGUGGCCUGGUUCUCGGCAAUUCCAACAAAGAGAUUUUGUGGAGCACUCGGAGGCAAUAUGUCUAUUGAAAUAUUCAAAGAAAACAAGAAUAACAAGUUAAUAAGUACUAGUGGUUUAUCCAAACUAAUUAACCCAACUUCCACAAACACGCAUGGCAAGAAAGAUGCACCUAAGAAGUAUGCAAAAGAAGGAACAAAAACCCCAAGAAAAGGGAAGCAAAAGUAUAUUCCAUCGAGUGACUUUUCAAAGCUAGUACCUUUUGACAAGAGAAAGGGCAGGAUAAGUAUAUUCCAUCAAGUGACUUUUCAAAGCUAGUACUUUGUUUUUGACAGGGUAAAGCAGUGAUUUAUAAACUAGUAUUAUACUGCAUGUAGAUACUUCAUUCAGGCUUUCAUGUUGUGUGUUCAUGCCCCUGAUAUGUAGCACUUGUUGAUUCUCGAAGUAACAUUUUAGCACAUGGGUUCAAGUGUUUGAGCAAUAAGACUUGAACAAAAAAGUGUUUGAGCAGUAAGACAAAAUUUUAAGUAGUACACAGUAAGAUUACAAGUAUAACGACACUUCUAACAAUUGUUUGGAUACGCAUAUAAGCUAAGGUACUAAAAUUGAUGUAUUUAAUAUCAUUUGAAAGUGUAAUGACUUAACCUUGCGGUUUCUUCAUUUCUCAAUAUGGCAUGACCAGGUCUGUGCAACAGGGCAUUGGUUUUCACGGAAAUAUUUCCCCACUAAUUAGGUUGUAAGAGGACAAGAGGGGUUGUUCUGAUGGUAAGCAACCCCCACUUCCAACCGAGAAGUUGUGAGUUCGAGUCUCCCCAAGAGCAAGGUGGGAAGUUCUUGGAGGAAAGAUGCCGGGGGUCUAUUUGGAAACAGUCUCUCUACCCUAGGGUAUGGGUAAGGUCUGCGUACACACUACCUUCCCCAGACCCCACUAAGUGGGAUUAUACUGGGUUGUNNNNNNNNNNNNNNNNNNNNNNNNNNNNNNNNNNNNNNNNNNNNNNNNNNNNNNNNNNNNNNNNNNNNNNNNNNNNNNNNNNNNNNNNNNNNNNNNNNNNNNNNNNNNNNNNNNNNNNNNNNNNNNNNNNNNNNNNNNNNNNNNNNNNNNNNNNNNNNNNNNNNNNNNNNNNNNNNNNNNNNNNNNNNNNNNNNNNNNNNNNNNNNNNNNNNNNNNNNNNNNNNNNNNNNNNNNNNNNNNNNNNNNNNNNNNNNNNNNNNNNNNNNNNNNNNNNNNNNNNNNNNNNNNNNNNNNNNNNNNNNNNNNNNNNNNNNNNNNNNNNNNNNNNNNNNNNNNNNNNNNNNNNNNNNNNNNNNNNNNNNNNNNNNNNNNNNNNNNNNNNNNNNNNNNNNNNNNNNNNNNNNNNNNNNNNNNNNNNNNNNNNNNNNNNNNNNNNNNNNNNNNNNNNNNNNNNNNNNNNNUGUGUAGGAGGGGCUUUUUUUUUGGGGGGGAGGGAGGGGGGGGGAGGUUAAAGAUAAUAACAAGGCUACGGGAAUGGCAUUGGCAGCAUCUACACUAAAUACAUAAGCCAAUAGUUUAACAAAGAAUGUAACUGUAAUCAAAGUUAAGAGCAAUGCUGAGAUUUCCAAAGUUGGGGGAGGAGGGAAGGGAACUAGUAAGUAGUUUAUCAGCAAAUUUCUAGAUGCUUACCCAGGAAGACCGCAAUUGUGACAUAUUGCCACAUUAGGGCACUCCCUAGCAAAAUGACCAGGUCGUUUGCAGUUCUUACAGAGACCGUCUGGGCUGCAAAGAAAAAAUAAUUGAUUAUUGUUGGAAAGAUAGAAAAAAGAAGGUAAAGCCCACGUCAAUCUUCCUCCAGAAGAGCAAAAGAAUGAAAAACUGUAGAUCCUAGAAAGAGUUGAAGAUUUCUUGACCUAUCUAGCAUGCACAUAAAAUCAUAGAUCAUAAACAGCACUAUUAUCAGUCAAGAGAGAGUGGUUGUGAAAACUUCACAACCGAGCAUUUCAAUCUAAUGCAUAUGAAUAUCAGGGUGGUAAAUAUGCUUCAAAUAGUCAUGUUCAGCUUAGUCCAUUAGUUAGUCUUAAAUUGUGAAACAGCUUUUUAUUUUAGAAGUGCAAAAAAGAUAAAUCUUGAAACCAACUAGUAGCUACAAUUCAACCUAUCCACACAUUCAUGUUAAAGCAACUGUAAAAGCAAGAUAACAAACAUCCUCCAUUCCCAUGUCUAACAGACAGAACUCCCUUAGUUCCAGCCAACAAUUGCUCGGGAAUGAGAACAGUUGAGCAACAUACAAAUGAUUAAAAACCAGAUAACCUGAAGCCCCCACGUGACUCCCGUCUAUAUGGUGCAUCACUGUAGGAAUACCGUUCCGUGCGGAUUUUACGAUCUCUUGGGCUCCUGCUUCUGCUCCUGCUUCGGCUUCUGCUGUCAGAUCUCAUUUUGAAAACUAUCACGAGUAAACCACCACUAAAAAAACCACCUGCAAAAUAUCACCACACCACCACCAGCAGCUGCCUCCUCCUGUCCACCACAACCACACAUCCAAGACCACAUCACAAAUCCAUAAAAAACCUCUACUCCCGUGAUUUAUAUACCAAACCCCCAACACCACUAAGGAGACAGUACACAAUAGCAAGACCAGUUAGACAUCAAUGUUAAAUACACUCUCUUUUUUUUAUUAGCACCGGGUGUCCGAGUCUCUAAGAGCCUCGACUAAUCCCCGGGGUGCACAGGCCCUCGUCAAGGAGUUUCCCGGAAGUGCACCACGGUUAAUUCAGGUUUUACCUAGUCCGAUGGCCUUCAGAAAUUGUUUGCACCCGCUGGGUUUCGAACUUGAGACCUUGAAAGGGAACAAACCCCAAAACUCAAGCCAAUUAUCAUCAGGCCAACCCCUAAGGAUUCAAGGUUAUAUACACUAAAAAGCUGUUGACACAGGAACGUCGUCUCCAGCCACAUCCUACAUACUGUGCACAUCUCGUGGCAAAUAGAUACCCACACAUUAUCAUUAACAUUCUAGUCACCACAGACGAUCUCAUAAUGCAACUUCAUAAAAAUAUAGAGACAGCUUCAGUAACCAGCAGAAAAGUGACAUAAGUGUUGGUAAAAGGCAAAGCUUUGCAAACAACAGCUACUACUUCGAAUAUAAACUACCUAAAACAGAGAAUACAACAUAUAUGUCAAGUGGUAAGAAAUCAGGUUAUAUUUCUCAGUCCAAUGAUACUUUCCCUCUUUUUCAGACCAGUAUUAUCAAAGGUGAAAAGGGCAAAAAAGCUCUAAGGUCCGUUGGGGCUUUAAGUUCUAAGCGCAAAUAAAGCGUGAGCUUUAACGAGAAAAGGCACAACCGGAGAAAAAGUGAAAAUAUGUAUAUCUAGUCCAACACUAAUAAUUAUAAGUGUGAAUAACAAAUAUAUGGACAAAGAAAUUAGAAAAAAAUUACGAAAAAAGUAAAAUAUCAACUGUUUAGUGUCGCCUUUACAGGAUUACACUCAUUGGCAAGGAAAAGUAUGUGUUAGAGCCUUGAUAAAAUACAAAAGUGCACACAAAACGGGAAAGCGCUCAACAUGUUUUGAACCUCGCUUUAGGGCUUAAGCGCGCCUUUGACAACACUGUUUCAAACUGCAAUCAACUGAAACAAGUGACAUAUUGGCUACUCACAGAAAAAACAGAAGCUUAAGGGUAAACUUCCUCGUCAAUGUUAUUGAUUGUUCACUCUUUUGUUAGGUGGAGAUGAAUGUCCAUCACUGUGCAGUAGCUUCUACUAGGAGUAGAUGCCCAAUGAAGAAACUGCUCAAGAGCAAGGAGUUAUGAAUAUCAUUCCAGAGUGUGCGUGCUUCAUGUCAGUUGAAGAUGUACAAUCUCUUUAGUAGGGAAGGACCACAGUUCUUUAUUAAAAAUUAAUUGCAUUAAGCACAAGGUCCCUUAUUUCCUUUUUAAAUAUAAUUGACCAUGCCCUUGUAUCAUUUCUGCAUUUCUGUCCAUACAUAUAAUCCUAACUAUUAACAUCUUUCCAAGUAUGAAUCCUCAACCCCCCACCAGUCCCACCAAAGUCCCAAGUAACACAACCCAUUGAUAAGAGCAAGUAUUACAAAUUGAGCGAAAAUUUGCUAAAUAACAUUAAAACUACCCCCAAUAUCAGCAAGGGACUACCUUAUGCCCUUUUCUCCCCUGUUAUCACCUCAGUUGUGCUGCAUUUCGCCAGUGUUGUCAAAGGCGUGCUUAAAGCGCACUUAAGCCUUGAUGCUAGGCUCAAAGACAUACUUUUCCUUGCGAACAAGUGUAAUCCUGAAGAGGCAACAUUAACCCAUUUAUAUUUUACUUUAUCGUAAAUUUUCUUUUUUUUUUGUCUAUAUAUUUGGUAUUUAUAGUUAUAGAUGUUAGUCUUGUACUACACGUACAUAUUUGUAAUUUUUCUCCAUUUGCACCUUUCUUCAUUAAAGCCCGCGCUUUAUUUGAGCUUUGCGCUUAAAGCCCCAAUAGACCUUAGAGCUUUUUUGCGUUUUUCGCCUUUGAUAACACUGAGUGGCGCUACAACCCUAGAAGAUCUCCAUUACACCCACCCCUCCCCCUUUAUAAAACGACGUACCAAAUCCGAAGCCUUAAUUGCAAGGCAAGUGCUAACUGGUAAAUGAGGUUCCUAUCUUGGAGUGGAGGUGUACUACGUUCACCAACCGAGCUAUCCGUGCCACACCAUAGCUCUUGGCAACUUCAUCUUAAACUUGAAACUUGAAAGUUUGAAUGGACCCAUUGCAUCAAUUUAUACACCAAUCCAUUCACUUCCUUUUCUAGUUUUGGCAAGUGUUAGGUUUCUUGUUCUGAGUCUUCACCUUCUUUUGAAAAAAAAGGUAAAACUUCUCCCUUACCCCAAUUCCAUGGGUACUAUCUGAAUUCCCAAAGGUCAACUUGCCUAAUUUCAAAGUAUAGUAGUUCACACUUUUGAAAAGAAAUAAUUAAAAUUUGCCAAAAUUACUCUUCAUAAAAGAAGGAUAAGAAAAUUAUCCUACAAUUUAUUACCAACUACAAGAUGUUUUAAAGCCCUUAUUUAAGUUAAUCCAUUUGACUCUAGGAAAGCAAAAGGUGAAACUUCUUGGUAAAAAAUAAGUUAAAGAGGAGAGGAUACUCCACAAUACAAGCCCAGGCCAACUACCAAUCUACAAGCAGUAGAAAUUCAAAGAAAGAAUGGUGAAUACACUAGAUCACUGAUAAUUUAUGUAGUCACUUUCACCUAGUAGAAAUCCAACAACUUCCUAGUGCAGCCCAUUCCCAUGUUAUCCAUCCCUGCAUAAUUCAAUCAUAGCAAUAUAAUUCCUCCUCACUAUAAUAUGCUGUAUCAUAAGACCAAAUGAGUAAAUGACCUCAAUAUGCACAAUCACAUGAUUCACUAGUAAGGUGCACUGCUCCACCACAUGUUGAAUUGAAAAUUAUAAUUUGUCCAAAAGUACACUUCCGAUUCAGUGGAGAUUUAGUGCUCGAACAAAAACUUGCAUUUGGACCAAUUCAAUUUGUUAGAAAUGAAGGGACAUAAAUUAUAAUUUCUUCUAUUCGUAACUCAUUCUCAACCAGUCAACCCAAAACUCUAGUUGAAACCAACAUCGCAUUCACUUUGUCUAUGACUUAACAAUAAAUUAGCUGAACGAGCGAACUACACAAUUAUAUUGCUUCACAGCAUCACCCCCACAACCUCACCACAACAAAAAAAAAACCAAUAACCAAAGAAGACCAGCUAACUACCAUUUAUGGAUGAAGUCAGCCUUAUUUGAUAUAGCACAUGCAACCCGCCAACCCAUCACCAAGAAGUCCUUAUUGGCUCUUUUCUUCCCAAUGACUUGAGCCAAUAACCUCAAAGUUGGAGGAUCCUUUAGAUUUGUCUUUUACAUAUGUAGUCAGUAUUUUGCUUUCCACCAAAGAGAAGAUAUAGUGGAUUUCAGAUUUUGGUGUCAUCCUUCAAUGACUAAUAACUAAAAAUGUUCUCAUCUCCGUCGAAUAGAAUUUCAAUUGUACUCUGUAUGUAGAAGAGGGGUUUGCUUUGAUGGUAAGCAACCCCCACUUCCAACCGAGAGGUUGUGAGUUCGAGUCUUCAAAAGCAAGGUGAGAAGUUCUUGGAGGGAAGGAUGUCGGGGGUCUAUUUGGAAACAGUCUCUCUAUCCCAGGGUAGAGGUAAGGUCUGCGUACACACUACCCUCCCCAGACCCCACUAUGUGGGAUUAUACUGGGUUGUUAUUGUUGUUGUCUGUAUGUAGAAGAGCAACAUAGAUUACUUCUACCCACAAACCAGGCAACCUUUUACAUCCGGAAUAUCAGACAAAAAAUCCUCCCCAACUUUCCCUUAGGUCACUUCCAGCCACAAACCAGGAAACCCUUUUGCAUCCAUAAUUUCAAACAUGAAAUUCUCCUCAACUUCCAUUCCAUCAACCAGUUUCUACCUAAAAUCAAGGUAAACAGAGUACAGCCAGCAAUGCAUACUCACAGCUUGAGCUAGCGGGCGAAUUUGCCACCUCGUCUCAGACAUUUAGUGAUUUCCCACUUCAGCUCUCUCCAUUAAGUAUUAGUAGAUGAUAAAAUCACACACGACAAAAACCUUAAAAGAGCAUAGAACGAUAGACGAUAGGCAAAUAAAAUUUGCAAAAAUUACUAAGCAAUACAAUUAAUUGCACAUAUAAGCCGGUGGUUAAGCUACAUUUCUAAUUGCUACAAAAAUCAGAUGUUUUUUUAAUAUAAGUGCCAAUAAGUCCGAAACCCUAGUUAAUGUUUUACUAUGCAAACCCAAGUAAAAAUUAAGAUGAUGAAAAGAACCCUAAGAACCACGGUUCAAAUCCCACCAGAGGCAAAAAAAAAACCCAAAGCAGAGAAGACACAGCACAAGUUUGUACAUUGAAGAGUACAACGUAACCCUAAAACUAUUCCAAGGAAUCGGAGACAGAGGUAAUUUCUUGCUAUUAGAUAAAAUAAAUAGGUGAAUAAAUCGAGAGGAGAGAGAUAAAUGUACCUGCAAGCUUACGAAAAUGGAGAAUCCGCAGCGAAUGGAUAUGGGGAAAACUGCGACCCAAGUAACUGCGCCUGGGAAUAAGUGCCAAAGGGCUAGGACAGCAAAUCCCUUAAAUAGCCUUCGAAAUGCUACUUUCUUUUUUCCAAUUUCCGACCUCGUGUCCGCUUGCCUGCAUUGCGACCCAAUUAAUCGUGAAUUUGUGACGUAAGGUCCAUUUAAUGGACAAGCAUUUCCUAUAGAAUUUUUCUAUUAUCUGUUCCAUCAAAAAAUUUAGGGUCUUUCUGAAAAUAACCAGGUAAUUAAAAUUGUGUAAUUACUAGGGUUUUAUCCUACUAUAAUUAGUGUUGUAACUAUAUGGCCAAAAUUCGGCCAGAAAAAUUCAGUACAAAAAGAUACUAUAGUGGGAAGAUCGUAAUUCGUCAUGGGCGGCUCAGCUAAGUAUGACUCGGACAAACCUCCGAAGAGUUCAUCCUGGACGAGGUCGAGGACAAGGAAAACAAAUCAUGCUCAAGAGUCGAUUGGUCUGAAGUCAUGUUCCUAAAGCAAGCUAACGAAUCGAGCAGCCGAGGUCGGAGUCGAGCACUUAGAUUGGCCAGAAAUGGCUAGUUUUAGCAAUAAAAUAUUCCAAGGGAAUAUUCUAUAUGAUAUUCUCUACAUUUUGUACUUUAAAUAGGUAAGAGAUAUAUCUCAUAUAAAUAGUAAGAGAGAGAGAAAAAACCGUCAAAAUUUCAUUUGAUAAGUUCUCUUUGGAGAAGUUGACUCCUAUAUAACUACAAGCGUUAUCUAUAAAGAAUAUUCAUUUUGUUGUGUUGAUCCGAGCUUUUUCACGCUAGAUCCGAUAAAUUGUUUAUUAGAUUAUAGUAUUCACAAUGCAUGCAUUAAAACGCAUUGCAUUGUUAAUACAGUGGUUGCCUAUGCAUUAGUUAUGCAUAGGACAAUAACAAAUCGGGUGUAUAACUAAUGCUUGCAUAACUAAUUCAUAGGUUUCAAAAAGUGUAUCAAACAAAGUAUCAUUAAUAAUGUAAGCACAUAUUUUUUUACCUGCAUAAUUUUUAAGUUAGUUUUAGUAUUUUAAAUAUUUACCUGAGUUAUUAUAGAUUUUUAAUCCAUUUUUAUUACCACUUUAUUAGUUUAAUUUUAUUUGAGCAUUUGUACUUCACUCGUUAGUUUACGGGCAUGAGUAGCUCUCGAUGAUAUAUUAUGACUUAUGUGAAUCGUCGAUUUUGAUAUUUAGGUCACUUAAAAGCAAUGCAAUUGAACCCACUAUAAUAAAUUAAACUUAAAUGCAUUGAAAGUGCAAUGAAUAUUUAUGCCAUCAGUUGAACUGAUAUUGUAAAAAUGCUUUUUGCAAUUAGCAUACAAAUCAAAUUAGCUGCAAUUACAUUUUAAGUAACAUGAUUGUGUAAAUUUUUUUAAAGCAUAAUAACUUUAACUUAAAUAAAUAAAAUGUAUAUAUAUCAACAACAACAACAGUCUUGUAUAAUCUUACAACUGAAAUUUAGGAAAGGUAAUAUAUACGCAGAUCUUACCCCUACUUCGAGGGGCAAAAGAGCUAUUUCCAAAAUAUUCAUGACUCAAAAAAAACAACAAGAAACGAUAUAUUAAUAAUAUCAAUAGACAUAAUUUCCGAGUCACUCCACAAAUAUGUAGUGUGCGCUAGUGGUGCUCUUCACGCACAGAUUUUCAUUCAAUUACUUGAAUAUUCCUUACUUUCUUACUUAUGGAGUUGUUAUGCAUGGCAAAACAAAUAAGGCUGAAGAUUAAGGGAUAAAAUCACAAAGAAUAACAAAAAAAAACAGAAGCAAACAGGGUACUUUUUCGAUUAAGAUGCACUAUAAUCUAAUCUAACCAAAAACUCAUAAAUAGAAGCAACCACAAUUUUUUUUAUAGCUAACCUAAAAUAUAUUCGUACAAUUUAAAAAAGUCAGAAACUUACAUAGGCGGCGAGAAGCAAAUGUUAAUGUACAAGGAGAGAGUAGCCUAGCGAAAACAGCAUCUCUGUCCCUAUCGGGCCAGUGGUAAGAUCUGCGUAUACAUUAUCCUUUCAUGACGCCUUUGAAUAAUAAUAUGCAAAAUUUGAGAGAUUCUCAAGCCAUGGCAUGUUAUCUUCCGGAUAUGAUGAUGAUGCCUUUUAGACUAUGACACCUUUGGAUAGAUUGGCGAUAUUUAUGCUCAUGAUAUGCAAUAAUGUGAUGUUAACAAGACAAGAUUUAGUCUUGUGAAAUGGAAGGCAGAGCUUAGCCCGAUUGAAAAGCAAAUAGGUGAUACCAGGAAUGGAGCAAUAUUUGUGCAAAGAGGGGCAAUGCUUAGUCCCAUGCAAAUGGGGAGGCAAGGACUAGCCUCAUGAAAAUAGAAAAGCAAGGAUUAACCUCAUGCAAAUAUGGAGUCAGGGAUUAGCCUCGUACAGAUGGGGAGGCAAGGAUUAGCCUCAUGCAUAUAUGGAGGCAAGGAUUAACCCCAUGCAGAUAGGGAGACAUGGAUUAGCCUCAUGCAAGUACAACGGCAAGGAUUAGCCUCAUGGAAAUACGGAGGCAAGGAGUAGCCUCAUGCAAAUAGGGAUACAGGGAUUAGCCAUAUGCAAGAUAGGGAGGUAGGGAUUAGCCUCGUAUAAAUGCGGAGGCAAGGAUUAGCCUUAUGAAAUAUGGAUGCAGAGAUUAGCUUCAUGCAAGAACGAAUGCAAGGAUUAGCCUCGUGCAAAUAUGGAGACAUGGAUUAUACUCAUGCAAGUACGGAUGCAAGGAUUAGCCUCAUGCAAAUAUAGAGGCAGUGAUUAGCCUCAUGCAAGUACGGGGGCAAGGAUUAGCCUCAUGAAAAUGUGGAGGCAAGUAUUUGCCUCAUGCAAGUACGGGGGCAAGGAUUAGCCUCAUGCAGAUAUGGAGGCAAGGAUUAGCCUCAUGCAGAUACGGAGGCAAGGAUUAGUCUCAUGCAAAUACGGAAGCAAGAAUUAGCCUCAUGUAGAUGUGGAGGCAAGGAUUAGCCUCAUGCAGAUAUGGAGGCAAGGACUAGCCCCAUGCAAAUAUGGAGGCAAGGAUUAGCCUCAUGCAAGUACGGAGGCAAGGAUUAGCCUCAUGCAAAUAUAGAUGCAAGGAUUAGCCUCAUGCAAAUAAGGAGGCAAGGAUUAGCCUCAUGCAAGUACGGAGGCAAGGAUUAGCCUCAUGCAGAUAUGGAGGUAAGGAUUGGCCUCAUGCAGAUAGGGAGGCAAGAAUUAGCCUCAUGCAAAUAUGAAAGAAAGGAUUAGCCUCAUGAAAUAUGGACGCAAGGAUUAGCCCCAUGCAUAUAGGGAGGUAAGGAUUAGCCUCAUAGAAAUGUGGAGGCAAGGAUUAGCCUAAUGUAGAGAGCAAGUAGCAAAUAAAAGUAUCAUAUAUCUUAGUUGGAGAUAUAUUCGGUGUCUGAUGUCCUGAUUGAUAGAGAAAUGCUUACGUGUAUAUAUUUGAGGAUGCUAUCGCUACGUCACAUGUGCUUGCGUUCAAAGAAAAAUCGUAUGUUUGUGAGGGGAGGUUGGUUCAUGCCUACAAACCACAGAUGAAUGGAGCCGUAGAAACCGCCAAUAAAAAUAUCAAGUAGAUACUAAGAAAAAUGAUAGAGAAACAUAAGUAGUGGCAUGAGAAGUUAUAAUUUGCUUUAUUAGGGUACCACAUCAUAGUCCGCACAUCAACAGAGGGUAACCCCUUAUAUGUUGGUUUAUGGUACAGAAGUGGUCAUUUCCACCGAGGUAGAAAUUCCCUCUUUAAGGAUCAUACAGGAAGCAGAACUCGACGACGCAGAGUGGGUGAAGAAUCAUUACGAGCAGUUGGAGCUUAUAGAUGGGAAAAGAAUGAAUGUAGUUUGCCAAAGUUAGAUUUAUCAUAACAGAAUGUCCAGAGCCUUCAACAAAAGGGUCAAGCUGAGACAAUUCACAUCGGGACAACUGGUAUUAAAGAAGAUUUUUCCACAUCAAGAUGAAGGCAAAGGGAAGUUCUCUCCCAACCGGCAAGGCCCAUAUAUGGUUCAUUGGGUUCUAACAGGAGGAGCUCUUACACUCGCAGAAAUGGACGGAGAAGUUUGGCCAAAACCAAUCAAUUCAGAUGCAGUCAAGCGAUACUAUGUGUAACCAUUUAUUAUUUCCUUAUAUCAUUUGAACUACGUCUGACCUAAUUCCCGUUUAAGAGGGGAUACUAGGUAGCCUUAUGGGUUCGGUCACGUUCAAUAAAAUUUUCAUUUCCCUGCAAUUGAAAACUGGGGUAGAAUUUUUAGAAGGACCCUCAAAAUUCCAAAGUAAUUUCAGCCGAUCACUGCAAGCAGCCAUCAGAAGCACCAUCCCAGUAAACUAGGGCAAAAUUUUGAGGAGGACCCUCAAAAUUCUGGAGCAAGAAAGGGUGCAAUAUUUUGAACCGCGUCACAGUCGUUGGUUCCUCUAAAGAAAACUAUUCUUAAAUUAUAUAUUUAUGCUAUAUUUCUACCAAAUUAUGCACAAGUUUGAAUUGAGGUGCGAUUUAUCGUUUUGAUAUCAUUACGUGUAAUUUCAGGUCUAAGAUCCGUAUUAUAUUAUGGAACUUAUCGGGAUAUUCGGGCGUGUUUCAAAUUGAUUUCGGAACUUUUUUCAAAUAACACUUGAAUCAAAGUAUAACAACCUAGUAGAAUCCCAAAAAUAAAAUACAACUACAAGAUGCAAUUAUAAAUGAAACAAAAUGUAAAAUAACACUCCAAAGACGGCAAUAAAAGAGUUUUUAGGUCUAUAUCUUAUAUAAUAAUGAGCAGUACGGAAGUGCCAAAAUGUUGAAUCUGACUCUAAUAAUUAUCAAAUGUUUGGGAAGUUGCACAAUACAUCAUAUUUUCAUGGAAUUACAGUUUAAUUGUACUUGUUAAAAAUACCAUUUUGUCAUCGAUUCAGUCUGUCAAUUUUGACUUUUCUAUUGUAUAAAAAAGGAAAGAUAAUCAAUCAAAGGUAUAUAUGUUAGUUCAAAAAAAUUCUUAUAUUAUUUGUAUUUUUUAAAUGUAAAGUGUCAUUAAUACAUUCGAAUCCCAUAUUUUUUAAUCAUAACACUCCUUUAAAUAUAAUAUUAAUUAGACUACUUUUUCAGAAAGUACUACAUGUAAAUACUCAUUUGGAACGUUCUUUCUCUUAUUUGGUAAAUUAAUUAAAUUUGGUUUAGUUAACUAGAAGUUUCCACAAAAAAAGUAAAAAUAGUUUUUAAAUAAUAAAUAUCUGUAAAUAUUUACAAGAUUUUCGUAUCUAUCCGUAGUGUUUUAAAGCAAUUUAAAAUUUAAAAUUUAAAAUUAAAAGUUUUCAUCUAUCUACACUAUUUGAAGGCAAUUUCAAACUAAGAAAAAAUUAUAUAUUCAAAAGUAAUUUUAAAAAGUAUAGUUUAUUAUUAAAAGUUAAUUUAAUGUUCAUACUGUACUAGAAGACUAUCUCUUAUAUGCUUAAUUGAUAUGAAAAUUUAAUUUACAUGAACUCAUCUUUCAAGUUUUCAACUAUCAAUAAAUUAUCUCAAAAUAUUAUUUGUUAUAAUUUUUAUAUUGUUUCAUUAUAAAAAUUAUAACAUAUGAUAAAUCUACAGAAAAAUAAAACCAUUUCUCUUAUCUCUUUAAUUAAGAAAAAAUUAAAUUCCCUAUAAUUUAUACAGACUUUAAUAAAAUAUUUAUUAUUUUAUCAUCAGUUAACUUCAUUUAAACGAGUUGUAAUGAAUAUAAUUUGAACAACUUACUACAGUUUAUAUCAUAUUAAUAUUUAUCUAGUACAUUUGGUUCCCUUUGUUUGAAGUAGUAAAUUGCCUCUUUAAGAAUACAAAUCUGGUUAGAAGUUCUUUUUAUUUACUGUAUUAAAAAAUUCUCUUGAUUUUAUUGUAUAAUACAAGUCAGAAGACAUAAAAUAUUGUUAUAGUAAAUUUUUUAAUGGGAGAGGAUUUAGGAAAACAAUCUGCAGAAUCAAUUAAUGCAUCUUCUUUGGGUAGCCUAGAUUGUAGACUUUCGAUUCAGCUCAGGGAGUUGAGACAGCAAGGGCCAAAGGUAUUACUUAUUCAUCUUUACAAAACUAUUAUUGGGUUAUACUCCCUUCGUGACACAAUAAGUGGCUAAUUUGCUUUUAAUAUGCCCAUUAAAAAAAUACUAAAUUUUAUAUAAAAAUAUUUAAACUAUCCCUAAUUAUACAUUUAAUGUUAGAAGUAAGAAAUUUUUUAGGGAUAUGUAAAUAGGAAUUAUUUUGUAAAAACAAAUUGAAUUUUUUCUUGAUUACAUAAUUGAACACUUUUUUUGAACCAAAAUAAAGAAUAAACUGGUCACUUAUUAUAAAUCGGAGGUAGUAUUAGAUAUAUUUCCUUGUGCUUUGUGUUUGUUGCUAUCGUUUUUCCAAAAUGACCAUAAUUUUGAAGUUAUUGUACAAAAGAUAUUUGAUUCUUGUCAGUUUUUUUUAUAUUAUCAAACAUUUAAAUUUGAUUUUAUUCACAUAAUAAGUAGAGAUAUUUAAGUUGAAGCGUUGGGUCGUGUUCAGCAUCACCUUAUCUAGUAUUCUAAUAAGCAUAUGACAAAAAUCCAAAAUUGUUUCUUCUCUCAAUUAUUCACAUCAUAACAUGGUCCUCAGUUGUCACGAGUUUGGCCAAUAGCAGUAUGAAAUAAUUUCUUUUAAACUAUAUCUUUUCCGAACAUUUGUUGGCUUUAUUAGCUAUAAAAUUUGUUUAUUUAUAGUAUAGUUUUUAUGAAGUCACAAAAAUGUAAAACUUAGUAAUAAAAAUAAGAAAUCGAUAUUCAGAAUUACAUAUUUAUAGAUGCAUCCACUCGGGUCGCUUAAAUGCUAACAUUCUUUCUAAGACGACUAAGAAAAGUAGCAUUUGAACCGAGUACAAUAAUGUCUACCGGUUCGGGCCGGGUCGGUUUUUUCCGGCCCGUUCGGGUUCCGGUCCGGUCCGGGCUGGGUCGAACGGUAACGGGUUGUUAAGGGGCCGGGUUGGUUCGGGUUAUAAUUGAACCAUACGGGUUACGGGUUGAAAGGGCCAGCCGGGUUUAGUAUAUUUUCAAUUUUUUUUAAAUUAAGUAUAACUAUUAAGUUAUAAUUAUAUUAAUACUUUGUAAUAAUUGAAUGAAUACAAGUAAGAUGAGAAAAAAUUGCNNNNNNNNNNNNNNNNNNNNNNNNNNNNNNNNNNNNNNNNNNNNNNNNNNNNNNNNNNNNNNNNNNNNNNNNNNNNNNNNNNNNNNNNNNNNNNNNNNNNNNNNNNNNNNNNNNNNNNNNNNNNNNNNNNNNNNNNNNNNNNNNNNNNNNNNNNNNNNNNNNNNNNNNNNNNNNNNNNNNNNNNNNNNNNNNNNNNNNNNNNNNNNNNNNNNNNNNNNNNNNNNNNNNNNNNNNNNNNNNNNNNNNNNNNNNNNNNNNNNNNNNNNNNNNNNNNNNNNNNNNNNNNNNNNNNNNNNNNNNNNNNNNNNNNNNNNNNNNNNNNNNNNNNNNNNNNNNNNNNNNNNNNNNNNNNNNNNNNNNNNNNNNNNNNNNNNNNNNNNNNNNNNNNNNNNNNNNNNNNNNNNNNNNNNNNNNNNNNNNNNNNNNNNNNNNNNNNNNNNNNNNNNNNNNNNNNNNNNNNNNNNNNNNNNNNNNNNNNNNNNNNNNNNNNNNNNNNNNNNNNNNNNNNNNNNNNNNNNNNNNNNNNNNNNNNNNNNNNNNNNNNNNNNNNNNNNNNNNNNNNNNNNNNNNNNNNNNNNNNNNNNNNNNNNNNNNNNNNNNNNNNNNNNNNNNNNNNNNNNNNNNNNNNNNNNNNNNNNNNNNNNNNNNNNNNNNNNNNNNNNNNNNNNNNNNNNNNNNNNNNNNNNNNNNNNNNNNNNNNNNNNNNNNNNNNNNNNNNNNNNNNNNNNNNNNNNNNNNNNNNNNNNNNNNNNNNNNNNNNNNNNNNNNNNNNNNNNNNNNNNNNNNNNNNNNNNNNNNNNNNNNNNNNNNNNNNNNNNNNNNNNNNNNNNNNNNNNNNNNNNNNNNNNNNNNNNNNNNNNNNNNNNNNNNNNNNNNNNNNNNNNNNNNNNNNNNNNNNNNNNNNNNNNNNNNNNNNNNNNNNNNNNNNNNNNNNNNNNNNNNNNNNNNNNNNNNNNNNNNNNNNNNNNNNNNNNNNNNNNNNNNNNNNNNNNNNNNNNNNNNNNNNNNNNNNNNNNNNNNNNNNNNNNNNNNNNNNNNNNNNNNNNNNNNNNNNNNNNNNACCUUGUUUUUUAUUUCCACCCCUACCAGUAACUUUUCUAUACGCUCUUUUAGCAGAACUAAACAUAUUGUAAAAAUUAAAGUAUAAGCUAAAAUAAAACAUGCUAUUCAAAUAUUAAAUAAGAGAAAGAGUUGGAGGGAGUGCACCGAAUUCGACAAUAAAUUGAGCACUUGAUCAAAUAUGAAAUCUUACAAAUUGAAAGGAAGAGAGAUAGAUUGAUAAUUUGUGAAUUAAGAAAUUAAGAUUGAGAUAAGAAUGUUGAGUGAAGAAAUGAAGAAGAGAUGAGGGUAUUUAUAGAUUUUAAGAAGGGUUAAUAUUGUANNNNNNNNNNNNNNNNNNNNNNNNNNNNNNNNNNNNNNNNNNNNNNNNNNNNNNNNNNNNNNNNNAUUAAUAAAUACAAAAAAAUAAUGAAAAAAUGGCCAUUUUUGUAAAAUUAGCCGUUGGCCAACGGAAAUGUGGGCCCCACCAUUUCAAAAAAUUAAAAAAAAAUAAAAUAAAAAAAAUUACCAUUGAACCGGGCCGGUCCGGUCCGGGCUAUACCGGUUCACGGUACUGUUCAUGUUACCAGGCCGGUCCGGUCUGGUUCGGAGUAAAAAAAUUAUUAACGGAAAAACCCCCUACCCCCUAUCAACCCAGCCCAGCCCGCCCCCCUACCGGUCCGGUCCUGGGUUGUACCGGUCCGUUCCGGUUCGGUCCCGGGUCAACCUAGCCCGGUUGACGGGUUUAAUGCAAACCUUACCCCCCCUAUCUCAAAUAGAUAGAAAGGUUAUUUUCGGGAGACUCUUAACUCAGAGUUAAUAAAUCCGUAACAACAAUAAAAAUCAGAAAAAUAGUAUCAGCAUCGUAAAAUACAACAGAUAAAUAGAAAGGCCAAAAUGUGAAAGACAAGAAAAAAAAUGUGAAACAUAACAAAAACCGCUAGCAGUUCUAGACAAAACAUUAUCAGACUAACCGGUACAGCAAGGAGAAAUGCUCGACUACCUCCUAACCUAUAAUCUUAAUGUUCGACCACCAUACUUUCCUAUUAAGGGCCAUAUUCUCGAGAAUCUGAAACCGCGUCAUUUGAACCAAAGUACCUGGUAAAUAAAAGGAAGCCAUUUUAACCAAAGUAUGAAAUGACAAGUGGAUAAUAGAGCAAUUCUAUGACAGGUGAUUUUCACUCUUUAAUUGAUAAUUUUUAGAUAUAAGGUCUACAUUCUUUGGUCUUUUUUUUAAAUAUGGGACCUCCACUCCCUAGUUAAAGUUAUUUUAGAUAUAUGAUUUUCAUAAGAGCUGAAGAAGAAUAAACUACCACCUGCAGCUAGCAAGCAUCAAGGUUCAGAUAAAAAUCUAUGUGAAGAACUAGCCAAGCCUCAAGAUCAAGCUUCAAAAGACUUAUAGCUAGGUAUUUUGUAGCUCGUAGCUAAUAUGCUUAGUUAGUCUUUUUCAUUUUGAUUUUGGUGUAAUAAGGAGUUCAGCAACAACAACUGUGAAAUCACAGCUUUUUGAUAGUCUCAGCUAUCAAAACUUCCAGAAGUACACUGACAUGAUUCCUUUAUAGCCAAGGAUAUAUAUGCAACCUCCGAAGCAAAGUUCGGUCAAACUUUAGUUCAAGUGCUAUUUUUCUUUACUGGUUAAUACUCAUUGAGCUUAUGGACUGCUGCAAGCAAAUUCAGCUAAAUAAUUGAGGUUUAUCGGGAACAAUACUACAAAUUUCCGGGAUAGAAAGGGAUCUUCAUAGAGUUAUCUUAUUUUAUUUUUGGAUAGAUAGAAACCUAUAGUUCAAUACACAGAGCUCUUUGUUUUACAGUAGCUUUUGAAAUAGUUAGGUUAUAUUUUUAUCAGUUGAAAUACUUAGGCCUGAGAAAUAUAGUAAUAGCUAGCUAAAGCUAGUACAUACCGGGGAGUUAAUGCUUUAUAGAGCAUUGUAGUUUUUCAUCGGGCCAAAAUAUUACAAGUAAGGAUGUGUUUGGUACGAAAGGAAAAUAUUUUUUAAUUUUUUAAUGUUUGAUUGGCUUAAAUAUUUUUGAAAAAUAUUUUUCUUAUGAACUCAUUUUUUUUCGAUUGGGGGAAAAUAUUUUCCUUAUCAAGAGAAGGAAAAACCUUGGUGUAUGCUAUUUGCUGAUGACAUAAUCUUGAUAGACGAGACGAGGGUCAGUGUUAUUAAGAGGUUAGAGGUAUGGAGACAGACUCUUGAGUCUAAGGGUUUCAAAAUAAGCAGAUCUAAGANNNNNNNNNNNNNNNNNNNNNNNNNNNNNNNNNNNNNNNNNNNNNNNNNNNNNNNNNNNNNNNNNNNNNNNNNNNNNNNNNNNNNNNNNNNNNNNNNNNNNNNNNNNNNNNNNNNNNNNNNNNNNNNNNNNNNNNNNNNNNNNNNNNNNNNNNNNNNNNNAUGCCGAGCUGAGCGAAGUAGGCAGGGACGUGAUGAUUGGAUCCCAGGUCAUCGCCAAGAGGGACAGUGUAAGAUAUCUUGGGUCGGUGAUUCAGGGGAACGGAGAGACGGGGACGUCACUCAUCGUAUAGGAGCGGGAAGGUCUAAGUGGAGGCUUGCAUCAGGAGUCCUGUGUGACAAUAAAGUUCCACAGAAACUCAAGGGGAAAUUUUAUAGAGCUGUGGUUAGACCUGCAAUGUUGUAUGGGGCAGAGUAACCAUCGANNNNNNNNNNNNNNGAUUAAGAAUGAAGUUAUUCGGGAGAAGGUGGGGGUGGCCCCGGUGGAUGAGAAGAUGUGAGAAGCGAGGUUGAGGUGGUUCGGGCAUGUGCGGAAGAGAAGUCCUGAUGCCCCGGUGAGAAGUUGUGAGCGGCUGGCGAUUGUCGACGUUCGACGAGGCAGAGGGAGGCCUAAGAGGUAUUGGGGAGAGGUGAUUAAGCAGGACAUGGAUAGAAUGUGGGUUUCCGAGGACAUGACCCUUGAUAGGAAAGUCUGGAGGUCUAGCAUCAGGGUUGUAGAAUAGGGGCUCCUAGAGUUUUUCGUACGCCUCACCCGGGGUUGGGUGUGGGAUAGUAGGGUCACCCAUAGAUGAUUAGUGUUUUACCUUAUGUCCCCUUAUGGUUGUUAGUAUGGUAGUUACGGUUUGUUAUUAUUGCAUGCGACUGUAUUUAUGGUAGUUAUUUAUGUAGUUACUGUAUGAUAUUAUUGCAUGAUAUUUAUUUAUGGUUCUUAUGUUUAGAUA
Molecule: long non-coding RNA, 56437 nt
Filed under: Nicotiana benthamiana
Lineage: Eukaryota; Viridiplantae; Streptophyta; Magnoliopsida; Solanales; Solanaceae
Description: long non-coding RNA (NBEN_LNC031468)
Source: RNAcentral